This 85089-nucleotide long non-coding RNA is filed under the name Malus domestica (apple). RNAcentral describes it as "long non-coding RNA (MDOM_LNC015876)". Lineage: Eukaryota; Viridiplantae; Streptophyta; Magnoliopsida; Rosales; Rosaceae. The record is from RNAcentral.
UCAUGUAUCCGCAGCUCCUCCGUCUUCCUCCCAAACCUUUUACCUUUUCUUUCUUUCUUCUCCAAAACUAGCAAUCUGAGAUUUCAACCUCUCUCUCUAAGAAGCAGCGGCAUGCUUUUCCAAACGCAAUCUGCAAUUUAAUCAAACAGCCACCGAAUUUUCUGGAAUCCGGUCAACGCAGCGAUGCUCCGGAUUUUGAUCGGUCAACGCCAGCUGCUUACCUGAGCUCCAAAAGACCCAACAGUGAUGACGUCUUCCACCUCUGUUUCUGUUUGGCUGAUUCUGCUGUUUGGCUUCUUUCACCUCCACAAGCUUGCAGCCAAUGUCGAGGGUAUGUCUCUGUGUGUUAUUGAAUUUGGGAGUGUUUGGUUGUGGGAACUGGAAUGAACUAAUGAAUGAAUGAAUGACUGGAAACAUUCCCGAAGAGCUUGGGGGUUUGUCAGACUUGGUGAGCUUGGAUCUUUACUUGGCAACCUUGCAAAACUGCGUUUCCUGUAUGAACCCCCAUCCUUUUGUUAGAUAAAAUCUAUCGUCAUUCUUUUUUAUUCGAUAUGCUAAUCUGCUGUUUUUAAUUGUUCCAUUGGAGUGACUUUCUUCCUUAAAGUCCUUGUGCCGGAUGCAUAUAAUUUAUAGUAUGAUCCCUGGUUUCAAGAUUCAGUCAUUGCAAGUCCUGUGAGUUUCAUACACUUUCAUCUCAGUAAGAGGGAGGAGAGAGUGAAAAGUUACUAAUUUCUCUGCCAUCAGAGAAUGCAAAUAACAUAUAGUUUUGCCAUGGAAUGCAGGGAUCUUUCAAAUAACAAUCUGACAGGGGAUAUUCCAGUUAAUGGAUCGUUUUCACUUUUUACUCCCAUCAGGUUUGUUGAAGCAACUGUACUCUUUUUCUUUAACUUUAGGGACAAAAAUAACAAUCUGACAGGGGAUACACUUUCAUCUCAGUAAGAGGGAGGAGAGGGUAAUAUAGCUUGAUCAAGUUGGUGUUGUAGUUGUUGUAUGGGAUGCAGGUUUCACUCAUCUACUGUCUUUGCAGCUGAGAAGGAUCCACAAGUUCAUUCACGACAGCUCAAAAACUUUUCUUUGCGCGAGCUACAAGUUGCAACAGAUACCUUUAGCGACAAAAAUAUUAUUGGUAGAGGUGGAUUUGGUAAGGUUUAUAGAGGACGCUUAGCUGAUGGAACUCUGGUUGCUGUAAAAAGACUUACAGAGGAGAGAACCCAAGACGGGGAACUACAGUUUCAAACAGAAGUUGAAAUGAUUAGAAUGGCUGUCCACCACCGCAAUCUGCUUUGUCUCCAUGGUUUUUGCAUGACACCAACAGAAAGGCUGCUUGUAUAUCCUUAUAUGGCUAAUGGAAGUGUGGCAUCUUGUUUAAGAGGUACUCAUCUAAAUUGUUUGCUGCGUUGAUGAAUCUUUUUGUUUUCACGACGUUAAAUUUUUUUUCGAUCACAUUGAUAUAAUGAAUUUAAAAACCUGACCAAUUUGGCUUGGAGUAUCAACACUAAUUUUUUUAAUGUUUUGUUUCCUUCAAUUUUAAUUUACCUUCUCGAUGCUGAUUUUAUUUCUGUUUAAUUUGAAAAGGAUGACAAGAAGACCCUUUUUUUGGGUAGGACGGGUGGUAUGAUAUGUGUUAGACCACAUUACCUGUUGCUUGUAAUUUGAAAUUCUCCUCUCAUAAGUAUGUGGAUAUAUUAUUGUAGGUCGUCCGGAAGGACAACCUGCACUUGAUUGGCCAAUAAGACAACGCAUUGCAUUGGGAUCUGCAAGAGGCCUUGCUUAUUUACAUGAUCACUGUGAUCCAAAAAUUAUUCACCGUGAUGUGAAAGCAGCAAACAUAUUGUUGGAUGAGGAAUUCGAAGCAGUUGUUGGAGACUUUGGGUUGGCUAAACUCAUGGACUACAAGGAUACAUAUGUUACCACACAUGUAUGUGGCACAUUUGGUCAUAUGGCACCGGAGCACUUUUCAACUGGAGUGUCUUCCGAGAAAACUGAUGUUUUUGGAUACGGAGUCAUGCUUCUUGAACUCAUCACUGGGCAGAGGGCUUUCAAUCCUCAUCUUGCGAGUGAUGAUGAUGUCAUGUUAGUUGAUUGGGUAUGCAUUUACGUCUUUCUGUUUGUGUAUGUAGCUAGUUCAUUGUUAUAUGCAAGAUUAUUUCCCAACAACAUUUGCAUUUCCUUAGUAAUUAGCUUUUAGAAAAUAAGUUUGGUUUAAUUAGCUUUUGUUAGUUAGAGUUAUGAUUAGCUGUGUAGAUUUGUUUAUCUUUAUUUAUAACAAUCUAAGGUUUAAACUGUCAGAGAUUAAUUAUUGCAUUUCCUUAGUAAUUGUUACUAUUGUUGUUGCUUCUUUUGCCAAUGUAUUGGCAUUUUGUGAUUUCUUGAAGAAUUUGGCAUAUGUUUUGUGUCGAUCGUAAUUUCCUCAUCAUCUCCUUAUUCUCGCUAUCGUGGCCUCUUGCUUUUUCCUAUUCUCUCUAUUGCAUCUUUGUCUUCUCUUUGCAUGAUAUCAAUAUUUGAAUGACGAAACAUUUUUGUAAGCAGUUCGAUUUUCUGUAGAAAACUGCGGUCCUUCAAAUUUUGAACAUUACAACACGUUUUUGUUCUCCUAGGUUCCCGCACCUUUUGUUUCAAAUUGUAGAACCACCCGACAUUUUCUGUUUUAUUUUUCCUAAAAAAAUUAGGUCAAACGACUACUGAAAGAACGGAGGUUGGAAAGACUUGUUGAUGCUGAUCUAAAUGGAAAUUAUAUUGACGAUCAAGUGGAGCAGCUGAUCCAAGUAGCUCUACUGUGCACACAAGGCUCCCCAGGGGAACGGCCCAAGAUGUCAGAGGUUGUCCGAAUGCUUGAAGGCGAAGGCGAAGGUUUGGCUGAAAGAUGGGAGGAGCGGCAAAACGAGGAGGUGAUCUGCCAAGAUUUCAACACUAUUCAUCAUCCAAGUACUUGGAUCAUAGACUCACCCUCUCCUAAUUUUGUGUUGUACUAUUUCUUUGAGUUUGAAGAAAUGGAUAAAAAGAAUGACAUGUGAUAGAGAGUUCAUCAUAUAACUUCUGACUUUAAGGAUUUUUCAUUUAGUUCUGGUUCAUGUUGCGCAAAUAAUAUUAGGUAACACUGCUACUGGGGCUAUUGCUGGAGGGGUUGCUGUUGGUGCUGCUUUAACGUUUGCUGCAACUGCAAAUACACUUGCUUAUUGGCGACGGAGAAAACCACAGGAUCAUUUCUUUGAUGUACCUGGUUAGUGAACUAUAGGAGUAAUAUAGCUUGAUAAAGGUGGUGUUUUAGUAUGGGAUGCAGGUUUCACUAAUCUACUGUCUUUGCAGCUGAGGAGGAUCCAGAAGUUCUUUUAGGACAGCUCAAAAGGUUUUCUUUGCGCAAACUACAAGUUGCAACGGAUAACUUUAGUAACAAAAAUAUUCUUGGUAGAGGUGGAUUUGGUAAGGUUUAUAAAGGACGCUUAGCUGAUGGAACUCUGGUUGCUGUAAAAAGACUUAAAGAGGCGAGAACCCAAGGUGGGGAGCUGCAGUUUCAAACAGAGGUUGAAAUGAUUAGCAUGGCUGUCCACCGCAAUCUGCUUCGUCUGCAUGGUUUUUGCAUGACACCAACAGAAAGGCUGCUUGUAUAUCCUUAUAUGGCUAAUGGAAGUGUGGCAUCAUGUAUAAGAGGUACUCUUCUAAAUUGUUUGCUGCGUUGAUGAAUCUUUUUGUUUACACAUGGGUAAAUUGCAUUUUACACCCUCAGGUUUGAGUGUAAUUGCAACCUCAUACAACAUUUUAAAACAUUUCAAUUUUAUUUAUUUACUUAUCAUUUUUAGCAAUUUCAUACAUCUGAUAGUCAAACCGUCAGUUUGACUGUUAAGGGAUGACAUGGCAAAUGUGAGGUCUACAUUUUGUUGACGGGGAUGCCAACUAUGAUUCACGUGGAAUAAAAACAAAUAAAAAGGAUUAAUAAAUAGAAAAUUAAUUUUUUUUUAAUUUAAAACUAAAAAAAUAGAAAAGAUUAAAAAAAAAAAAUGGUGUUGUUCAUCCCUAUCCUGCUCUCACCCCGUCCCCGCAUUCUUCAUUUCCCCCCGCCCACCAUCGCCACCUUCCCUUUCCUCAGCCACUGCAAUGAAUAGACCACAUUACCUGUUGCUUGUAAUUUGAAAUUCUCCUCUCAUAAGUAUGUGGAUAUAUUAUUGUAGAUCGUCCCGAAGGACAACCUGCACUUGAUUGGCCAAUAAGACAACGCAUUGCAUUGGAAUCUGCCAGAGGCCUUGCUUAUUUACAUGAUCACUGUGAUCCAAAAAUUAUUCACCGUGAUGUGAAAGCAGCAAACAUAUUGUUGGAUGAGGAAUUCAAAGCAGUUGUUGGAGACUUUGGGUUGGCUAAACUCAUGGACUACAGGGAUACACAUGUUACCACAGCUGUACGUGGCACAAUUGGUCAUAUAGCACCAGAGUACCUUUCAACUGGAAAAUGUUCCGAGAAAACUGAUGUUUUUGCAUACGGAGUCAUGCUUCUUGAACUCAUCACUGGGCAGAGGGCUUUUGAACUUGCUCGGCUUGCGACCAAUGAUGAUGUCAUGUUACUUGAUUGGGUAUGCUUAUACGUGUUUCUGUUUCUGUUUGUUGCUAAUUUUCUGUUUUCCUUAAUAUGUUUCAUAUUUUAUUAAAAAAAAAAGACAUAAUGUUGUUGAAAUUCAACGAUCUAUUGUGUCUCUUUGUCCAAAUCUUGGAAAUUAUGUUUCAAUACUCAUUUUUAAAGAAAUGUUAUAUAAUAUAGUGUGAAUUAGGUGUAUCUCUCGAUACCAAUGUUGCUAUUUAUUUAAGCCAAAAAUAAUGGGUCUCGACACCUAAUCACUUUAUUUCAAACCGCUAAUCUCAUAUGACAUUCUUAAUCAUUGUAUAUGGAACAUUUAAAAACCUAUUACUCAUCAUAGAGCUGCCAAGUUCCUCUCUAAUUAAUGUAAAAAUCACUUAGUCUUUUUUGGCCCGAAUAUUGAAAACAAUUAGAAUCAUGGAUCAAAGAAAAGAACUAAUACUUAACUUUUAGAAAAUAAUUUUAGUUUAAUUACCUUUUAUUAGUUAGACUUACGAUUAAACUGUGAAGAUUUAUUUAUCUUUAUUUAUAACAAUCUAAGAUUUAAAUUGUCAGAGAUUAAUUAUUACAUUUCCUUGGUAAUUGUUGUUAGUAUUGUUGUUGCUUCUUUUGCCAAUGUAUUGGCCUUGCGGUGAUUUCUUGAAGAUUUUGGCAUGUGUUUUGUAUCGAUCCUAAUUUCUUCAUUAUCUCUUUAUUCUCGCUAUCUUGGCCUCUUUCUUCUUUCUAUUCUCUGUUUGCAUCCUUGUCAUAUGUUUGCAUCAUAUCAAUAUUUGAAUGACGAUGCAUUUUUGUAAGCAGUUUGAUUUUAUGGAGAUACUGCAGCCCUUCAAAUUUUGAACAUUACAACACAUUUUCACUCUCCUAGGUGCCCUCACCUUUUGUUUCAAAUUGUAGAACUAUCUGAUUUUUUUCCUUUUUAUUUUAACUAAAAUAAUUAGGUCAAAGGACUACUGAAGGAUCAGAGGUUGGAAACAAUUGUUGAUGCUGAUCUACAUGGAAAUUAUGUUGACGAUCAAGUGGAGCAGCUCAUCCAAGUAGCUCUGCUGUGCACACAAGGCACCCCAGGGGAACGACCCAAGAUGUCAGAGGUUGGCCGGAUGCUGAAAGGUGAUGGUUUGGCUGAAAGAUGGGAGGAGUGGCAAAAAAAGGAGGUGUUCCGCCAAUAUUUCAACCCUAUUCAUCAUCCAAGUACUAAUCGGAUCAUAGACUCAACUUCUCAUGGUCCUCUAGAUGAGUUGUCCGGUCCUAGAUGAUAUGCUCGUUGGUUCCGUCCCCUUGUAUACAUGUAAGAAGCCUCAGAGGACUAGAGAAGGUCCAUUUUGUAUUUCAGUGAUACCACAUUUGUGCGAAUGUUUUGUCUUUGUUUUCGAUUUUGUUUUUGUGUCGCUUAUUUUUAAGAUCACAAAAAUGGAGCUGGUGCUGUUGUAAUUUUUAUAGGGUUAACUGGCAUUACGAAGUUAUAUUGUGCUAGCAGGAAUCAGGAAGGUCCAUAAAAGCACCCAUUCCUAAUGAUUUAUGUAUCUUUCCAACAAUUAGUCCAGAUUGUCGAGUAAAUAAUCUUUCUGAACUUAUAACUAUCUAUAUUUUUUAGUGUUCUUAUAGAUCCUAUAGAUACAUCCUAUAGAUACGAUAAGGGCAUUAGGUCAAGUGCAUGGGUGCUUGUGGACGGAUAGUGUUUGAAAUUUCAUUGUGAUCAUUGCAAGUGCAACUUUGUGGCGCUACCCUUAUAAGCACUUGAACUAAGGCAUUAGGGGAUCUAGAGAUCACUUUGUGUCACUCCAACAUGGGAAUUCGAGUUGUCUAUCCUCUUUAGAGAAUCGCCAAUGGAGACCCAAACCUAAAUAUUUGGGUUUAAACAAAAUAAAAAUGGAAUCUAACGGUGGGACUUUUUUUGUUUUUUUGAACAAAAAAUAUUAUCUACAUUAAAGGGGUAGGGGAUUAUGUUAAUCCUUAUAGUGAACAAAAAAUUACUAUUUAAUAUUUUAUAUAUUUAUUCAAAAUUUUAUAUUAUUAUAUCACUAUUUUAAUAUUUUCUUUGUGAUAUAUUUUUAUUUUUUUAUUAAUAUUUUCGGCCUGUGGGGUCCACAAUCACCCAGGCUCUUCUCUCAUUUUCUGCCAUGUGUUUUGUCUCCUCCCUCACUCCACCUCUCCCUCUCUCCCAUAAGACUCAUUUCCUCUCUCCUUCGGUGAAACCCAAUGACGCCGAAACCACCACCACCUUGCCGAUGCGACUCCAGCGGGUUACUCCACUUGAUGACCCAGGCUAGCACCACCUUCGUCAUUUUCUCCCCCUAUGUCGAACCAGCACCACUCACUUUCUUCCCCGAGGCCAUUGUUCACAUUUUUCUUUUUCGACAACAUUCAUGGCGAGUUCUCGUCGUUCAUGACAAAGGUAAGGUUCGAAAACCCUCAACAUCUUCGUAGAUUGUGUUUAUGAGUAUGACGAGGAUGUUCUUAAGAUGUUUUAGUGCUGGUUUGACGUAGAAAUACCCCAAGAGUAACAAACCCAGUGUUCCGGCAGAGAUCUGGCGGCUUUCGAGCCAUUUUUUGGCCAACUCCGGCCAAGACCAAGGAAACCAAAGGUAUAUUCCAAUUCCUUGAUCCGAAUCUGAACUCGGGAUCCGGCCCGAUCUGUUCUAAAUUGUAUAUGAAAUAUUCCAGAAUAUUCCCUGUGUUGACUUUUAAGAAAUUUUCUCAGAAACCCUCAUAGGCUAAUUUUGACGUCCCAAGUCCAUUUUUGACAUCUAUUUAGGAAAAUCAUGAAGUUUUAACAUAGUUGACCACCAAGGCGUCUCGUUGACAUUUUAGGGUUGACCGUUCACAUUUCGUUGACUUUUUACAAAAUUUGCAUUUAACCCCUCUUAGCGUAUUUCGACACUCUGAUUCUAAAUUCGCACUCCGUUUUCUCAAAUUUGAUCGUUUAAGUUGAGUUUUACUAAUGAGUCCUAAUAUUAUACUUUGGUGCGAUUACUAUCGGAGACUCCGACUUUCUUAGCUUGAAAGGAUGUGACAUCGCAGGUACUUGUGAGUGGGUCUUUUCUUUUAUAUAGUGUGUAUAUAUAUAUAUAUAUAUAUAUAUAUAUUUGUUAGUUUCCAUUUAUAUAUUUGGUAAAGAAUUUUCUAAGUUACACCUAUAUUAGGGUAACGUAUAUAAAAAUUAACGUAUUGACAGAAUUCAUGUAAUUAUACUACGUUCUAUGGGAUACACAGGUAUGCGUAUUAGUAUGGAUGCUUUAAUGGUAUUUACGGUUAUGAAUAAUAUUCCAUUGACUAGGGUUAUUGAAUUAUCGCAUUAUCAAUUUACCAUUGCAUGAUCAUAUUUGUGUUAUUUACUCAUCGUGUGCUGCACUGGUGUUAGUACUUGCCCAGGCCAGGGCCAAUCUUUCACGUGUAUGUUCACAUCGCACUGUACGCUUAGUUUGGAUCCAUUGUAGGUGUAAUCCUAUCCUAGAUUGCGAUAGGCAAUUAGGACUCAUAUGUGAGGCACUUAGCGCUAGCCUUCACGUGAUUGUAGUACUAGAGCGUAAAUCAUUGCUUACACCCAGUCAUGUUCAUGUCAGAAUACCUCUGCAUGAACUCGUGUAUCAGCAUAUGUCAAUGAGCACUCGAUGUGAUAUGUUUAUUUCUGCGAGAUAUUGUGAUUACUAUAAGUUAUGUACCUAUUUAUGAAUUUUGUGACGUAUUGAAUUCUUAAGAUUUUGCAGGCUACAGUAAGUAUUUUCAUACUAUACGUAGUAUGUAAAUUUUGGAAACUAUACUUGUUUUACGAUAAGGGGUUAUAAUGUUUUCAAAAAGCUUUUUAUAAAACUUUAUUUUAGGCCCACUCACCCUUGUUUUUCUCCCCUCUAAGAUUUAGUGGCAAUGUUCGUGUCGACAAGGAUUUCUAGCAAACGCUGAUAUCAGAGACUACUUCUGAUGGUAUAAUUCUCAAUCUACUCUAUUGUACUUUACUUAUACUCUGACAUCACAUGUGAACUAGGUUGAUUCCCGCUCACUAACGCACUCUUAUACUUAGGCACUUUUAGAUUUAAAUUUAUUUCCAUUUUCCAAAUCACUAUAUUUUAUGGCUUCGUCACUCUCCUGGUGUCGACCAGCACACCUCGAUUCGGAGCCUAAGUAGGCAUUCCGGGUCAGGGUGUGUCAGUUUGGUAUCAGAGCAUAAGUUUGGUCAGCAUUGCGUUCAUCACACGCGUGCUGUAAGCAUUCUUGGUUCUUGAACCUAAUUGUCGAAUCUUGUCACCUCGUCGAAUACAAAAAAUGUGUUAGCUUUUCUUGAGUUAUGGGUUACUUAGACGACUUAUUGACAUGUUAGAAGAAUACUUUGGCGACCACCUCUAAACUUUAAGCGAAGGAUUUUCCUGCCAAGGAAAUAUGUAGAUUUGAGACAAGUUGAUGGCCCUGAAGCAGGGCUACUAUAUCGAUAGUUGUGCAUCACGAGAGAUUUACCAACCAAAUCCACUACCAUCUGGUCAUUUCUACCAACCCUUUUAAGUUAGAAAACCAUAAACAGUUUUGAUUCCUUGGCAUUACCCGUUAGUAUACCACAUAUCAGAAUUCCUGUGAAGUUUUAGUUUUUGUCAAAAUUUCCAAAAAUGUCCCGAAUGACAAUGUGGUGCUAAAAGGGUAGCAUUCGACAGAAGAACAUCUAGGGGAUAAUCACUUUUGUUCCCUGAUAACACUAAUCUUCUUAAGCGCACUGGUUAUCAUUUCGGAUCCUCAGGAGGAAGAUCGAUUUCCAUUUAGGUUAUUAACAAAUUUCUUUUCCGGUGUGGACCCCACCAUUGACAUUUGGUCAACAGGUCUUGAACCAUUUGAAUUACUAAAAUUAGUAUUACUAGAGACUCAGUGAAGCUUUGCUGACUUGUCUCGGUGAGUGACUUUAAUAUAUGUGAUAUGGUGAUUACCCGAUUCUUUAUAUUACUAUCCUUUGUGGAUAUGACAUGGUUUUAUAAAUGUGUUUUCUGUUAAAAUGUGAUUCUUUUAUAAUUGGCCAUCGAUCUAUUUUUAUUAAAUGUGAUUUGAUUCAUGGAUUGGUAAUAUUUGUGAAAAAGUGAUUCGAAUUGCAUAUUGAAAUGUUUUGUAAAUUGAGGGCUAGUAGAGGACUAUGACCCUGCUUGGUUAAUCCGCAUUGGGGGGUCAUUAGUGGUCCUGCUUGGUUAAUCCGCAUUGAGGGACCAUACUAUAUAUGGAUCGUGCUUGGUUAAUCUGCGUUGGGCGAUCCUUAUGGCCAUUUAUACUUAGGGGUGAUCAUGCUUGAUUAAUCCGCUUGGUUAAUUCGCAUUGGGGGGGGGGUGAUGAGUUCAUAUUAUACUAUAUAUUUCACCCUAUUCUUAGUAUUAAUUUAUUGAUUAUUUUGGUAGAAUUUUGAUACUUUGUUUUAUAUUUUCAACAUAGGAUAUUCAAUUUCCUCUGGAACAAAACUUGACCAAAUGGACGAAAUUUCGAGUGAUUCAAAUUGGAGGACGUUCGUGUGUUGUUUGUGUCAAAAUAUCAGAAAUUUCUACCAAGCGGUUAUUUUCUGGAGAUUAAAUGAAGGAGCAGUGCGCAUUGCUGGAAAGUGACAUUUCUGGGCUUAAACUACAUUUUUGGAGCCCGAGAUGACUUCGGCUGGAGAAGUGUUCAGAAUAGUCCAAACUUUAGAUCCAGCUAUUUUGGGCCAGUUUAGGAUUAUAUUUCCUAUUUUAUUUCUAUUUAUUACGUUUCCUGGUUUUAUUCUAAGACCUUUUAGGGUUUUAUUUUGUAUUAGUAUAAAUAAGGCUUUUUAGCCAUUAGGUUAAGAAAUAGGGGAGAGAACGCACACAUUUUGGCUUUAGAGAGCUUUUGACGAAUCAAGUGUAUUUUCAAGGUGUUUUCUAUCCAUGUUUUUAAUAAUAUUUUAUUUUAUGAUUGUUUGUAAUUAGUUUUGUUUGCUAGGGUGAGGCCACGAGCCUUAGCAAAAAUAUGUAUUUUUUUUUUCAAUUUGCUUAUAAUAUUAUGCAUGCAAGUUUUGAAUUAUUAACCACUGUGCUUUAAACUAUCUAGUUGUCUUGAUGAUUGGCCACCAUUAGGAUAUUUAGAAAAGUAAUUUGAUGCAAUUUUGGUGGAGGGCUGUCCCUGGAAUUGGCGUUGGCUUCUUGUGGUUAAUAUGUGUAACCUCUUAGGAUGGACGACAUGUUUUAAGGGUUAUAUGGUUUUUCAAAAGGUUUUCACAAAACUUAAUGAGUCUUGCAUGUUCACAUUCGAUCUGGACGCCACAGACGGGUUUCAAGUAGGGCAUACUUUAGGAAAACCUAACCUUCAAAAUAUGCAUGGGUAAUUCAUAAGUAAUUGAAAGAACUACGUAGAAUUGUUAAGGUGACAACGGAACCCUAGUGCUCAAAUUUAUUUUCAAAACUAUUUUCUUUUGUUUUUUUUUAUUACUUUGCCAAUUUAUUUAAUUUUUUUUAAUAAAAUUCAUUUUUAAUAUUUUAGGUCAUAAAAUCAACCUCUUCUAAAUUUUGUUUUCAAAUCAUUAAUUAAGAUUUGGUUUUAACAUAAAUUAUUCAUUCAAUCCCUGUGGAGAUCGACCUUACUUGAGCUGCUAUACUAUGACAACCUUGUACUCUUGCAAGUAUUUUUAAAUGUUUUUAUCUCUAAUUUUGCAGGUGGUAAAAAUCCCUACCAGAGGGUCACUAGUGGUCUUGCUUGGUUAAUCCACAUUAGGGGACCAUACUAUAUGUAAAUCGUGCUUGGUUAAUCCACGUUAGGCGAUCCUUAUGGCCAUGUAUGCUUAGGAGUGAUCAUGCUUGGUUAAUCCGCAUUGGAUGAUCACUUCCUAACAGCUGUAGGAGUGACUCUGCUUGGUUAAUCCGCUUUGGGGGGGUCACUGCCUACUUGGUUACUUUCUCAUGGGUGGCUUUGCUUGGUUAAUCUGUUUUGGGAGGCCACUUCGUGUUUGGUUACUUAUGUAGGCUUCUGCCGAACUGCGUCCCUCUAGCCCUAGUUUUUAAUGUACAUAUGAACGAUGGUUUUUGAGAAUCUUGGUGGUUUGAAUGGGAAAAGCCAUUGGAUGUUUGGGUGACUCAUUCGGAGUUGUUAGAGACUUGACUAUGUUUUCAUAUUUACAAACUUAUAUUUGAGGUUUAUAAACUGUGAUUGAUGGUCUUUCUUUUUAUUGAUUAUCACAUACUUGUAUUAUUGUCACUCACCCGAUUUUACAUAUGACAGGCCUGGGUAGAUUAUGAGAAACCGCUUGAUAUUUUGGUUUCAUUGAGUAAUCCGGAACCCGGUGUCGUUGGAUUCCGUUGAGUGAUUCGAAAUCCUUGUUCUCGCUCAUUCCCAUAAGGUUAGUCUAGAACCCUAGAUUUGAGUGAAUGAAAAUUACCCACAAUAGACCUUGUGAAUAUGAAAUAGAUUUACCAUGUUAUUACUGAUAAUCCAAGUAGAAAAUUAUAUAGAGUUCCUUGGUUAAAUUUGUGAAAUGAUAUGUUAUUGCAUUCAUUGAUUAGCAUAUUUAAAUGCUAAGAUCAUGUAUCUUUGAUUCAUGAAUUGAUUGAUUGACGGAAUUGUGGAAUGACUUGGUUAUGGUUGUUAUUAUUUUGAUUAUUUUAGUUGAUCAAUGUGGCUUGAGAAUAAUAUGUGCUUCGUUGGUUAUUUGAUAUGUUACAUGUUGUGGAUGGAAGUAUCGUGCUGAAAACAUAGAAUUUAUAUGAUGGAUGGAAUGAGAAUCUUGAACGGCAUGUUGGUUUGUUUUGUAGCCAUGAACUUGGUAAUGUCAUGCAUGUCAAGUUCUAAUAAUUGAUUACAGAAUGCUAUGUAUUCCUAUUAGAACGCACUGGAAUAAAUGUCUAAAUUAGUGAACGAUGAACUACGAACGGCUUGAUCCCUAAUGAGGGUACGUAGGCAAUCUAACGAGGAGGUUAGAUGCAGCCAUAAAGUAUACGAAAAAUUACUAUGCGAUUCAAUUCUCAAGUUGUGAUUUGCCAUAUCCCGGAGGCGGGGUAUGUUGAGAUACGGGUAUUUGGUGACGUCACAUGUCGAUCCUGAACAUAUGUUGGGAUCGGGGCGUGACAUUUUUGAUCACUUCCAUAGGUAGACAGUAGAAUCAAAGUACGAGUUAAUUUCUUGCUAUUAAAGUGAAUUGAGUAUCGAGAAAACUAUGAAGACCUUUUAGUUCAUGUCGUAGAGUUGGGAAGUAGUAUUGUACGUUUUGAUGACGUAUAUCCAAGUGUCUAUUUCAAAAAUUUACCUGAGAUAUCACCAAAUUGUGAAGUAAGAUACACUAUCAACCUAUUUUCUAAUACGACACCUAUUAUCCUUGCAUCUUAUCGAACGACUCCUUUGACUUGAGAAACUUAGUUACAAAAGCUUAUCGAUUAGGAAUUCACCCAACCAAACACUUUAUCUAGGGAACCCUAAACCUAUCCAAGAAGACAAUAGGUUGAACCUUAAAACUGUAUCUAGAUUUUAGCAACUCUAUCGAGUGACAUUUAACUCCGUUAUACCAUACUUUGAAUUUAUGGUCUAUCCAACCAACCUCUGAGCCCAAGUUUUCUUCCGUAGCUUGUCAAAUUCGUAGUGGUUUUACCGAUGACUUUCUCACCUACCGUAGCAACGGGAGCAAAUUUUCUAAACACUGACAGUCAGCUUUAUACCAAAUUCCUCAAAUAUUACCUUUGUUUUAGAUUUCUUGGGAGACGUGAUCUCAACAGAGACGUUCUUGUCAAUUUCCAAAAAGGUUGCACAUGAAGAAGAUUUCAUAUUCCACAAAUCGUUGUGAAUAAUGCGAUAUCCUUGGCCUUGUUGGUUAUAUCGACAUUUCGUUAGUAACUUUUCAGCAGUGGUGUUUUUCCUUGCAAGUUGACCGAGGAAAAUCAGUUUAACUGAGAUGUGGAAUAUGAUUACAGUUGUGACAACUGAGGUGUUGUCUAUUUCUUACCCUUGUUCGUACACCUUUCGAUAACAUUGAAUGAUUUGGCUGCAUACUGAUAGAAUAUGACGAAGUAUUGCUUAUGUUUCCCAACGGUUGAAACCAUAUAAAGUGAACUAACUUACUAUUGACCUAGAGUCAACAAUUACCAUCUUUCCUUGAAACUGGAUGACACUUCUCUAUGGAGAAUCUUGUCCAAAAUCUGUACCAACCUUAGACUUCUCAAAUACAUCUUCAUUUGUAAUGAGCUAAAUUUCUGACAGUAGUGAUGGACGAACUAAAUCAACGUUUACGAUUACACUAUCGUGUAUUACCCUGGUUGUGUAAACGUAAUUACUGUUCACCGUAGUAAAAGAUGUAUCUACCCUUGAACAUUUUCAACCUGUCCUAUUCCAACUCAUUUGGAAUUCAUGAGUAUUGUUAUGACGUGACUUACGAAUCCUCAAGAAAUCGUUCGAGUGGUUAUAAUCACUUACUGUAUUUGAAUAGAGAUGAGAAAUAUCACCAUAAGUUCCUAGUACGAGGUAUUUUGUACAUGUGGAUAUUAUGAUAAUGUUUCGAUGAUUAUCUAUCAACUUGACAAGUCAGCUCACCUUCUGUUGGUCGAGAAGAACUACAUUUUAGACCACUUAUCAAAAUUUCUCAUUCUUGAACUUAUUAGACUUUUUGACGUUUUGAUCAGCAUCUAAUCUAACUGUGAUUCCCUAUUCACCAUCUUGGGCUGGAAAGCAUUCCAAUCAACCUUAGGUACGUCUUACCCUACAACACUUUGUAUUAUUUCUUAAGCAAAUAGAUUGUUUAGAUGAACCGCUGACAUUGAAGUUUUAGUUAUGACCAUUAACUCCUCAAUCACCUAACAAAUACUUUACUGAACGAAUCUUUACCAUUAGUGAUUGAAUAUUCUGAAAGCUACCGUUGUAGUGAGAUAUUAUGCAUUCAAUCCAGCCAUCUUGUACUCUAGAUUCGAUGAACUUGUUUUGACCCUCAAAUUCUUGAGUGUUCAUUUAGCCUUUUCGGCGUAAUGUUUCACUAAACCCGAGUGGAAAUUCAUAAUGAAUCUACUUGCUGAGGCAUAUGUGAAUUACAGUGUUUGGUUGCAUAGUGUGCAUGACACUACUGUAUCUUAUUAUGAUGCGCAUUUCGCUUCCAAGUUUUGGGAAGCCUUCUUGAAGGCCAUGCGUAUUAAGUUUUGUCACAUACCACAUUUCACCCUCAGACUAACGGUCAGUCUGAAUGAACUAUUCAGACCUUAGAUAACAUAUUUCUUUUGUAUGUUUUAUAGUUUUAACUGGUUAUGUUAGACACCUAUCUUUGCUUAUGUUGCGUACGACGAUAGUUAUUAUUAUGGUUUGGCUAUAGUAUUGUUUAAGCUGUGAUAUAGAGAUUUUACGCACGGAACAUGUUUGACAGACGAGUAUUGCGAACAAGUAUUCGAAUGAUCAGGAUUAAGAUGUAGCAAACUAUGAGAUAUUGACGAUGUCGCCGAAGAGGGUCAUGCGUGAAUGCAAUCAAGGCGUUAAUCAGAUGAUUUAUGUGUAUUUCCCAAUGAGGGGCAAGAUGGUAAUAUUGCACCCUCAUGAAUUAUUUGCUUGGUUAUUGUGACAACACCGUAAUAUUGAUAACUUAUUUAUUGUUUGGACUUGACCCAAAGAUACUACACUUAUUCUCGGAUUACGUGACGCUACAAGUGCAUAGGUGACAUUUUUCUAUGUUCAGUUUUGAUUUCAGUACAACUAUCUUGAUUCUACGUUAUUGUGUAUAUGUAUUUUAAUUUGACGUUAUGUUUAUAUAUAUAUUACCUUAUGUUUUUAUAAAAUAUAAUAUUAUAGUAUUGUGCUGAAGGAGAAGGAAAGUAUGAGUUUGGAGCCAUAAAAUAGGAAUCAUUGCACACCUAUCGCGACAGAAUGACAUUCUCUUUUAUGCAACCGCUCUAGCUUGAAUUCUUCUUUAUAUAUUUUCCUUCUGUCUUGAGUAUUUUAUGUUUAGCAACUUAUUUCAAAUUUUGGGGACAAAAUUUUUUUUAAGGGGUGUAUAUUGUGACAACUCGUCCCUACUUUUAUGAUUUUAUUAAUUUUAAAAGCGUGAAUUGGCAAAAAUGCUCUAGCUUGAAUUCUUCUUUAUAUAUUUUCCUUAUGUCUUGAGUAUUUUAUUUUUAGCAACUUAUUUCAAAUUUUGGGGACAAAAUUUUUUUUUAAGGUGGGUAGAUUGUGACAACCCGUCCCUACUUUUAUGAUUUAAUUAAUUUUAAAAGCGUAAAUUGACGAAAAUGCCCAAGAGGCGAGAUUAUUGACUUUCGUUGAUCGUUGUUUGUGACACGUAUGAGUUAUUACUUUACCGUACCCUUGAAGUACUCGAUGGUAAAAACGCAUAGGCGCAAGCGGAAUCGAAUUUGGAGCAACGAUGAAAAUUUUAUUGAACAAUGAAUCCGAAAAAUACUUUUGUAAAAAUUACUAUUUUAUAUUUUAUAUAUUUAUUCAAAAUUUUAUAUUAUUAUAUCACUAUUUUAAUAUAUUUCUAUGGGAUAUUUUUUAUUAUUUUAUUAAUAUUUUCGGCCCAUGGGGCCCACACUCACCCAAGCUCUCAUCUCAUUUUCUGCCAUGUGUUUUGUCUCCUCCUUCUGUCCUGUAAGACUCCCCUUUUUCUCUCCCUUGGUGAAACCUAGUGACACUGGAACCACCACCACCACCACCACCUUGCCGUUGCGACUCCGGCGAGUUACUCCACUCGAUGACCCAGGUUGGCACCACCUUCGUCGUUUUCUCCCCCCUCCAUGUCGAACGAGCACCACUCAUUUUCUUCCCCAAGGCCACUGUUCACGUUUUUCUUUUCUGACGACAUUCAUAGCAAGUUCUCGCUGUUCAUGACGAAGGUAAGGUUCGAAAACCCUCAAUAUCUUUGAACACCCUCAAUAUCUUCGUAAAUCCCGUCCCUGAUUUUCACUAUUGCAAAUUACGUAUGUGUAUUAAGGAGUUAUUAUAUUAUUUUUGGAAUUUAUAUUAAUUGUAGAGUGUUGAGAUUGUGUAUUCAAAAGAUAUCAAUGUGAAAAAGCUACAAUUAAAAAGUUGCCCUUAAUUAAUUAAGGAGAGGAAAAAAAAGGGAACUUUAACGAAAAGCUCCCGGUACUGUUCAUUUUAACGAAAAACCACAUUUUUACACUAAAAAGUCAAUCCUGGUACUAUUCACUUUACCCUUUAUUUUGUCCUUAUCGUUAAAACUCAAAGUUUUCAAGCCCUUUUCAUUAGUUUUCCUAAAAAAAAAAGAAAAGGAAUUUGGGGAGAGAAAUGAAGGAGGCUUGGCCAACGGGAAGGCGGGAGAGAAAGAAGGCUGCCAAUGAGAAAAAAGGAAAGGAGGAGGAAAGAGGGGAGGGGAGGGACACCAGAUUCCCUGCCCAAUUGUCUUUUCCGACCUGAACGCGUCAUUGCUACCACUUCCGACGGGUUUUCCGUCCAUUUUUUGGCGAUCCACCAUUUUUGAAAUAAUGUUCUUCAAUUACCACCACAAAGACACUCAUCUAGAGGUCAGGAAAAAAGCCCAAGCAAGAUUGGGGGUGUUGGAGUUCGAAUUGAGGACGAAUCAAAUGACACCCAUUUCAAGGGUUCCGGCGGAUCGAGGCAAAAUUGAAGGGUUCCCCGGCAAAAUUGGACCUCGGCCCAGGUAUGAAAAUUUCUCCCCGCACUGAUAUCUACAUGCCUGUAAAGUUUGGUAAUUUUUGGAAAUAGUUGAAUUUUCGGCAAGUCGGGGCUGCCGACCGCCACCCGCGGCGGCGGCCUGCCCAGUGGGCCGACGAUGUCCUUUUAAGUUCAAAUAGAUGCCUUGAUUUCAUAAUUGAUAUCCGUAUGACGUAAUUUGAUUGUUUGGACUUAGUUUCAUUACGAUACCUCAUGUUGAUGCACAAAACCGGAGGUUUUGGGACAAUAUAAAUCCGAUCGUGAAUCUGCAAGUAAUGUAAGUAACACAAGAUGUAUCGUGGUUCACCCCAAUGUUUGGGCUACGUCCACACUGAUUAUUGAAUUUCUUUAAGAUGCUGAAGAGGGAGAAAGAGAGUUUCUCUGUGAGGAUGAGAGCUCUGAGAGGGUGAAGGUACGGCCUAAGAAAUGGCCUCCCUUCAUGAAGAGAGUGAGGGGUCCUUUUAUAGAAUAAGGGCUCCUCACUUAUUACAUAUUUGCCCUUUAUUUAUUACAUAAUUACAUUUGAGUCCCCCGAGUAUUUAUACGAGAUCUAAAAACGGAGGCCCUAAGUAUGGUAUAAACAGUAAUCCCCCAAGUCUUCAGUCAAGAUAGUCUUUUGGCUGGAGACUUGAAAUUCAGUCCAUGUGUGGACCAAAGUAACUAGACAUCGUCUAGGACUGAUACUCGAUAUGAGGCGGUGCUCAAUCUGAAAUGAUGCUCAACUAGAAGUAGCACAUGUUGCGAGGCUGCUUGGCUUGUGGCUUAUGUUGUCUUGGUUGGCUUGGCUUGUGGCAUUGAAGGUAAGGGAGUCCCUUUUAUAGAAUAAGGGCUCGCUCCUCAAUACAUGAAUGAUAGGCUAGAGUUGAUGCUCGCGGCGAGGGCAUUGCUCAGCUGGCGACGAUGCUCUCUAAUGAUGGUGAGGGAGUCUCUUUUAUAGAAUAAGGGCUCGCUCCUCAAUACAUAAGUGAUGAGUUAGGAGUGAUGUUCCCGGCGAGGCGAUUGCUCAGCUGGCGGCGAUGCUCUCUAAUAAAGGUGAGGGAGUCCCUUUUAUAAAAUAAGGGUUCGCUCCUCAGUACAUGAAUAAUGGGUGCUUUCUAAUGAAAGUGAGGGAGUCCCUUUUAUAGAAUAAGGGCUCGCUCAUCAGUACAUAAAUAAUGGGCUAAGUCCCCCAAGUAUUUUUCAUGAGGCCCAGUUGAGGCCCAAUAAAUGGUACAUAAUGUAGUCCCCCAAGUCUUCGGUCAAUAGAGUCUGUUGGUUGGACACUUCAAAUUGAAUCCAAGUAUGGGCUGAAGUGGCGGUUGUUCGGAGGCGGUAUUUGUAUACCCUGCACUGAAGCUUUGUAGGUGAAGCUUUGCAAGUGAAGCUUUGAAGCUAGAGCUCUGUAAAUGAAGCUUUUAAAGCUAGAGCUCUAUAAAUGAAGCUUUUGAAGCUAGAGCUUUGUAAAUGAAACUUCUGAAGCUAGCGCUUUUGUGAAUGAAGCUUUUGAAGCUAGAGCUCUGUAAAUGAAGCUUUUGAAGCUGAUUGACAUGAGUGAUGGUCAUGAAUGUUUAUGUUGAUUGACAUGAGUGAUGCUCAUGGAUGUUGAUGAAUGAUGGUCAUGAAUGUUUAUGUAUGAUUGACAUGAGUGAUGUUCAUGAAUGUUUAUGUAUGAUUGACAUGAGUGAUGCUUAUGUAUAAUUUUGGAGUACUGGAUGUACUUUUGAUCACCUGAUUGGUGAUAAUAGCGGCAGGCUGCCAAAUAAUUUUGGAGUACUGGGCGUACUUUAGAUCACCUGGUUGAUGAUAAUAGCGACAGGUUGCCGAAUAAUUUUGGGAGUACUGGGCGUACUUUAGAUCACCUGGUUGAUGAUAAUAGCGACAGGUUGCCGAAUAAUUUUGGGAGUACUGGGCGUACUUUUGAUCACUUGGUUGGUGAUAAUAGCGGCAGGUGCCGAAUAAAUUUGGAGCCAUAGGGCCUGGCUCUUUUGGGCAUAUGGGCAUUCGCCCUCCACAUGACAUUGCAGCCCACUAUUUUGGGCUUGCCCUUUUUUUUUAAAAUUUUUUUUAUUAUUACCCUCUGAUGGGGUUUAUAUAGAUGUCUCCGAAAGAUAAGAAAAAUAAAUUAUAUCAUUCAAAAAUAAAUCUCACCCUCUGCUCAAUGGGUUAUGCCCAUAAUUCCCUUUUCUGCAUGCCAUCACCACCGCAAUUAUGUCUGCUUCUUUUUAUCUUCUUUUGCUUUCUGCUUUUUACUUUCUGCUUUUCUUUUGCUUUCGGCCUGGUUGGUGCUAAGACCUUGUAGUGGGAUGGCAAACAGCUUGGCAUCAUUAUGUCUGAAUUCCUUUAUCAUCGUGGUGCCGAACCACUUUCCAGUUGUGUGUUUAAAGGAACCUGUUUUACCUUCACUGCUUUUUGACCAUACUUCCUCCAUCUAUACCCAAUUGAAGUAAUGAUUACUCCCCUGGAGCCGAUACUAGACCGGUUGAGUCAUUCUGGGAGGCAGCGGAAUGUUGACGUCUGCAACGUGCGGACCGAAGCCCAAAUGCGACGUCGUUUGGCCUGCCACCAGAAGAAGAAACAAACCGAGCAAAACAUUGAAACUCACCAGAGAGAUCGCCGGAGUCAGAGCUUAAGAGAGUAAACACCCAUGAUCCAUGUGAAGAGAGUGAGAGAGUGAGAGCAUGAGAGAGUAAACUCAUCCAAAUUAGAGUAAACUCACACAACUCCGGCCACAGAGUCGUACUCUUCCAUACCAACAUUUCCAUUUCCAACACUACCCUCCACGUUCUUCUUCACCCUCCCUGCAAUCACACGGCACACCAACAUUGCCCUCUUGUCACCCUCCUUCGUCGCCACCACCGCUUUAUCAUGAGCUCUGCUGCUUGUCGCAGUUGUCAAAAUACCCAGCUCCGUCAACUCCCCAGAGAACUUGUUGAAGCCGUUUUUUAUAAUGAUGCAAACAUUGCAGUGUGGGAUUAAGUUACUUGGAGAGCUUGGUGGCAAAGGUGGUGUAGUGGAAACGGAUGAGCUCGUUGCCGUCAGCGAUGCAGCGGGGGUGUUUCUUGGAGAGCUUGGUGGCUUUUACUUUGAUGGAGUCUCUAUACUCUUUGAAUUUGGUGAUGGUAUCUUGGGUGUUAUGGACUUUAAGGAUGCGGUCGAUUUUGUAGAUUGGGGUUCUUUUUUCAGCCAGCUGGACUGGAAUAUGAUCUCCACUAUGUUCUUGCUAGUAUCAUCAGGACUCCGAGCUUGUAUGGUGUCUCUACCGUCACAAGGAGAAGAUCAACCUCGCUGGUCACGAAGAGAAGAUCAGCCUCCGCUACUCAAGCUCCGACUCCAGCGAUCUCUCUUGUGAGUUUCACUGUUUUGCUCGGUUUGUUUCUUCUUCUGGUGGCGGGCCAAACGACGUCGCAUUUGGGCUUCGGUCCGUAAAUUGUAGACAUUAACAUUCUGCUGCCUCCCAGAAUGACUCAUCUGGUCUAGUAUCGGCUCCAGGGAGUAAUGAUUGCUUCAAAUGGGUAUAGAUAGAGGAAGUAUGGUAAAAAAGCAGUGAAGGUAAAACAGGUUGCUUUAAACACACAGCUGGAAAGUGGUCCGGCACCACGAUGAUAAAGGAAUUCAGACAUAAUGAUGCUAAGCUGUUUGCCAUCCCACUACAAGGUCCCAGCACCUACCAGACUGAAAGCAAAAGAAAAGCAGAAAGCAAAAGAACAUAAAAAGAAGCAGACAUAAUUGCGGUGGUGAUGGCAUGCAAAAAAGGGAAUUAUAGGCAUAACCCAUUGAGCAGAGGGUCGGAUUUAUUUUUGAAUGAUGUAAUUUAUUUUUCUUAUCUUUCGGAGACAUCUGUAUAAACCCCUUCAGAGAGUAAUAAUAAAAAAUUAAAAAAAAAACGGCAAGCCUAAAAUAGUGGGCUGCAAUGUCAUGUGGAGGGUGAAGACCCAUAUGCCCAAAAGAGCCAGGCCCUAUGGCUCCAAAUUUAUUCGGCACCCUGCCGCUAUUAUCACCAACCAAGUGAGCAAAAGUACGCCCAGUACUCCCAAAAUUAUUCGGCAACCUGCCGUUAUUAUCACUAACCAGGUGAUCAAAAGUACAUCCAAUACUCCAAAAUUAUUUGGCAGCUUACCGUUAUUAUCACUAACCAGGUGAUCAAAAGUACGUCCAGUACUCCAACAUUAUACAUGAGCAUCACUCAUGUCAAUCAUACAUAAACAUUCAUGACCAUCAUUCAUCAACAUCCAUGAGCAUCACUCAUGUCAAUCAACAUAAACAUUCAUGAGCAUCACUUAUGUCAAUCAGCUUCAAAAGCUUCCUUUACAGAGCUCUAUCUUCAAAAGCUUCAUUUACAGAGUUUUAGCUUCAAAAGCUUCAUUUACAGAGCUCUAGCUUCAAAGCUUCACUUGCAAAGCUUUCACCUACAAAGCUUCAGUGCAGGGUAUACAAAUACCGCAUCCGAACAAUCGCCACUUCGGCAUAUACAUGGAUUCUAUUUGAAGUCUCUAGCCAACAGACUUUAUUGACCGAAGACUUGGGGGACUACAUUAUGUACCAUAUAUUGGGCCUCAACUGGGCCUCAUGAAAAAUACUUGGGGGACUUAGCCCAUUAUUUAUGUACUGAGGAACGAGCCCUUAUUCUAUAAAAAGGACUCCCUCAAUUUCAUUAGAGAGCACCUAUUAUUCAUGUACUGAGGAGUGAGCCUUUAUUUUAUAAAAGAGACUCCUUCACCUUCAUUAGAGAGCAUCACCACCAGCUAAGCAACCGCCUCGCCGCGAGCAUCACUCCUAACUCAUCACUUAUGUAUUGAGGAGCGAACCCUUAUUCUAUAAAAUGGACUCCCUCACCAUCAUUAGAGAGCAUCGUCGCCAGCUGAGCAACUGCCUCGCCGCGAGCAUCAACUCUAGCCCAUCAUUUAUGUUUUGAGGAGCAAGCCCUUAUUCUAUAAAAGGGACUCCCUCACCUUCAACGCCAUAAGCCGAGCCAACCAAGGCAACAUAAGCCACAAGCCGAGCAGCCUCGCAACAUGUGCUACUUCUAGUUGAGCAUCAUUUCAGAUUAAGCACCGCCUCAUAUCGAGUAUCAGUCCUAGAUGACGUCCAGUUACUUCGCCCACACAUGGACUGAGUUUUAAGUCUCCAGCCAAAAGACUCUAUUGACUGAAUACUUGGGGGACUACUGUUUAUACCAUACUUAGGGCCUCCGUAUUUAGAUCUCGUAUAAAUACUAGGGGGACUCAAAUGUAAUUAUGUAAUAAAUGAAGGGGCAAAUAUGUAAUAAGUGAGGAGCCCUUAUUCUAUAAAAGGACCCCUCACUCUCCUCAUGAAGGGAGGCCAAAUCUUAGGCCAUACCCUCACCAUCUCAGAGCUCUCAUCCUCACAAAAAAGCUCUCUCUCUCCCUCUUCAACAUCUCGGAGAAAUACAAUAAUCAGUGUGGACGUAGCCCAAACAUUGUGGUGAACCAUGAUACAUCUUGUGUUAUUUACAUUUCUUGCAGAUUCAUGGUCGAAUUUACGUUGUCCCAAGACCUUCGGUUUUGUGCAUCAACAUAUUUGAUGGAUGAAAUAGAAACCUUGAUUAUCAUGUGGGUUGUUAUGUAGCUUGAAUUGAAUAAUUCAUGCUUGUCAAGUCCAACUGUUUGAUUGAGGAAUGUUAUGCCUUUUGGCUUGAGUGAAUAGUGUUAUAUGUCGAGUUAUAAAGACGUUGAACUACGAAUGGCUUGAUCCCUAUUGAGGGUACAUAGGCAAUCUAACGAAGAGGUUAGAUGCAGCCAUAAUGUAUACGCAAAAUUAUUAUGCAUCUAGAUCUUGAAUUAUAUUUUGUACAUAUCCAAAAAGGCGGGAUACGUUGAGUUACGAGCAUUUAGUGACGUCACGUGUCGAUCUGAGAUGUAUGUCGGGAUUGGGGCGUGACAAUUUAUCCCAGCCAUCUUUUUCCAGAUUCUGACGGUUGUAGCGGCAACCAGCUGAGAAGAAGAAAAAAAAGAAAAAAAAGGAAAAAAAAAAAAAGGAAGCCUAGAUCCGCGACCCGGAUCUAGCCCAACCUGAUUCUAAAAUGCAUAUGGAAUAUUCUUAGUGUUGACCUUUAAGAAAUUUUCUCGGAAAUCCUCCUAGGCUAAUUUCGACGUCUAGAGUCCAUUUUUGACUUCCAUUUAGGAAAAUUUUGAAGUUUUAACAUAGUUGACCACCGGGCCGUCUUUGUUGACUUUUUAAGUUUGAUCGUUCACUUUUCGUUGACUUUUUACAAAAUUUGCCUGGGACCCCUCUUAGCGUAUUUCGACGCUCUGAUUACUAUCGGAGACUCAGACUUUCUUAGCUUGAAAUGAUGUGACAUCGCAAGUACCUAUGAGUGGGUCUUUUCUUUUAUAUAGUACAUAUAUAUAUAUAUUUGUUAGUUUCCAUUUAUAUAUUUGGUAAAGAAUUUUCUACGUUACGCCUAGAUUAGGGUAACGUAUAUAAAAAUUAACGUAUUGAAGGAAUUCAUGCAAAUAUACUACGUCCUACGAGAUACACAUGUAUGCGUAUUAGUAUGGAUGCUUUAAUGGUAUUUACGGUUUUGAAUAGUAUUCCAUUGACUAGGGUUAUUGAAUUAUCGAUUUACCAUUGCAUGAUCAUAUUUGUGUUAUCUGCUCAUCGUGUGUUGCACUGGUGUUAGUACUUGCCUAGGCUAGGGCCAGUCUUUCACAUGUAUGUUCAAUUCGCACUGUACGCUCACUUUGGAUCCAUUGUAGGUGCCAGUCCUGUCCUCGAUUGCAAUAGGCAAUUAGGACUCGUAUGUGACGUGCUUAGCACCCGUUUUCAUGUGAUUGUAGUACUAGAGCGUAAAUCAUUAUUACACCCAGUCCUAUUCAUGUCAGAAUACCUUUGCAUGAACUCGUGUGUCAACAUAUGUCGAUGAGCACUCGAUGUGAUAUGUUUAUUUCUGCAAGAUAUUGUGAUUACUAGAAGUUAUGUACCUAUUUACGAAUUUUGUGACGUAUUGAAUUCUUGAGAUAUUGCAAACUACUGUAAGUAUUUUCAUACUAUACGUAGUAUGUAUAUUUUGGAAACUAUACUUGCUUUACGGUGAGGGGUUAUAAUGUUUUCAAAAAGCUUUUUAUAAAACUUUAUUUUUAAGCCCACUCAUCCUUGUUUUUCGUCCCUCCAGGAUUUAGUGGCAAUGUUCGUGUCGACGAGGAUUUCUGGCAAACGUUGAUAUCGGAGACUACUUCCGAUGGUAUAAUUCUCAAUCUACUAUACUGUACUUUACUUAUGCUCUUAUAUCACGUGUGAAAUGAGUUCAUUCACGCUCACUAGCGCACUCUUAUACUUAGGCACUUCUAGAUUUAAAUUUACUCACAUUUUUCACAUCACUACUCAUUAAUGAAAUCUUUAUUUUCCUAAAAGAUUAUUGCCUCAUAUGAGAAAGUCCCUAUAAUAUAAACCCUAAAUUUGAAGUUUACAUAAUUUUAUGUGAUAAUUUCAUUGGAAGCUAAUUCUUUUAGUUAAUUUAACUUGAUUUUAUUGUAAAAUAUUUUUUGUGUAAUAUUAUUACCCAAAAAGGUUCAAAAUUCUCAAAGCCAAAUUUUAUUCCAAUGGAGUUUUAAUGAAAAGUCCGCGGUACUGUUCACUUUAACGAAAAACCACAUUUUUACACUAAAAAUUCAAACUUAGUACUAUUCAUUUUACCUUUUAUUUUGUCCUUAUCAUUAAAACUCAAAGUUUUCGAGCCAUUUUCAUUAGUUUUCCUUUUAUUUGGGAGUUUUAACGAAAAGUCCGCGGACCCGGCUUUGCAACCCGGACCCAGCUUCUCUGCUCUCCCAGUUUCCAUACACUCUCAUCCCCUCCUAUUUUGUGCGAUCACGAUUAAGCACGUUAACAUUUUAUAUUGAUUUUUUUAUAGACAUAAUAAGACAAAAAACGAUAGUGAUAUAAAAUAUUGACGUGACUUAACAUUUGACAAAAAUUGAAGAUAAUUUUGUUUUUUUGACUAAAUGAUCAAAAUAAUUGGUGGCGAAUAAAAUCAGAAAUCUCACUUUGAAGAAACGAAACUUCCGACGUGGUGGGCUGCGACUUUUGACUGAUUGAGAGUCCUCCAUCCGCAGCUCCUCCGUCUUCCUCCCAAGCCUUUUACCUUUUCUUUCUUUCUUCUCCAAAACUAGCAAUCUGAGAUUUGAACCUCUCUCUCUAAGAAGCAGCGGCAUGCUUUUCCAAACGUAAUCUGCAAUUUAAUCAAACAGCCACCGAAUUUUCUGGAAUCCUGUCAACGCAGAGAUGCUUCGGAUUUUGAUCGGUCAACGCCAGCUGCUUACCUGAGCUCCAAAAGAUCCAACAGUGAUGACGUCCUCCACCUCUGUUUCUGUUUGGCUGAUUCUGCUGUUUGGCUUCUUUCACCUCUACAAGCUUGCUGCCAAUGUCGUCUCUGUGUGUUAUUGAAUUUGGGAGUGUUUGGUUGUGGGAACCGGAAUGAACUAAUGAAUGAAUGAAUGAAUGACUGAAUGACUGGAAACAUUCCCGAAGAGCUUGGGGGUUUGUCAGACUUGGUGAGCUCGGAUCUUUACUUGGCAACCUUGCAAAACUGCGUUUCCUAUAUGAACCCGCAUCCUUUUGUUAGAUAAAAUCUAUCGUCUUUCUUUUUUAUUCGAUAUGCUAAUCUGCUGUUUUUAAUUGUUCCAUUGGAGUGACUUUCUUCCUUAAAGUCCUUGUGCCGGAUGCAUAUAAUUUAUAGUAUGAUCCCUGGUUUCAAGAUUCACAAGAAGGGAACAUCCAGUCAUUGCAAGUCCUGUGAAUUUCAUACACUUUCAUCUCAGUAAGAGGGAGGAGAGAGUGAAAAGUUACUAAUUUCUCUACCAUCGGAGAAUGCAAAUAACAUAUAGUUUUGCCAUGGAAUGCAGGGAUCUUUCAAAUAACAAUCUGACAGGGAAUAUUCCAGUUAAUGGAUUCUUUUCACUUUUUACUCCCAUCAGGUUUGUUGAAGCAACUUUACUCUUUUUCUUUAACUUUAGGGACAAAAAUAACAAUCUGACAGGGGAUACACUUUCAUCUCAGUAAGAGGGAGGAGAGGGUAAUAUAGCUUGAUCAAGUUGGUGUUGUAGUUGUUGUAUGGGAUGCAGCUCAAAAACUUUUCUUUGCGCGACCUACAAGUUGCAACGGAUACCUAUAGCGACAAAAAUAUUAUUGGUAGAGGUGGAUUUGGUAAGGUUUAUAGAGGACGCUUAGCUGAUGGAACUCUGGUUGCUGUAAAAAGACUUACACAGGAGAGAACCCAAGACGGGGAACUACAGUUCCAAACAGAAGUUGAAAUGAUUAGAAUGGCUGUCCACCACCGCAAUCUGCUUUGUCUGCAUGGUUUUUGCAUGACACCAACAGAAAGGCUGCUUGUAUAUCCUUAUAUGGCUAAUGGAAGUGUGGCAUCUUGUUUAAGAGGUACUCAUCUAAAUUGUUUGCUGCGUUGAUGAAUCUUUUUGUUUUCACGACGUUAAAUUUUUUUUCGAUCACAUUGAUAUAAUGAAUUUAAAAACCUGACCAAUUUGGCUUGGAGUAUCAGCACUAAUUUUUUUAAUGUUUUUUUUCCUUCAAUUUUAAGUUACCUUCUCGAUGCUGAUUUUAUUUCUGUUUAAUUUGAAAAGGAUGACAAGAAGACCCUUUUUUUGGGUAGGACGGGUGGUAUGAUAUGUGUUAGACCACAUUACCUAUUGCUUGUAAUUUGAAAUUCUCCUCUCAUAAGUAUGUGGAUAUAUUAUUGUAGGUCGUCCGGAAGGACAACCUGCACUUGAUUGGCCAAUAAGACAACGCAUUGCAUUGGGAUCUGCAAGAGGCCUUGCUUAUUUACAUGAUCACUGUGAUCCAAAAAUUAUUCACCGUGAUGUGAAAGCAGCAAACAUAUUGUUGGAUGAGGAAUUCGAAGCAGUUGUUGGAGACUUUGGGUUGGCUAAACUCAUGGACUACAAGGAUACAUAUGUUACCACACAUGUAUGUAGCACAUUUGGUCAUAUGGCACCGGAGCACUUUUCAACUGGAGUGUCUUCCGAGAAAACUGAUGUUUUUGGAUACGGAGUCAUGCUUCUUGAACUCAUCACUGGGCAGAGGGCUUUCAAUCCUCAGCUUGCGAGUGAUGAUGAUGUCAUGUUAGUUGAUUGGGUAUGCAUUUACGUCUUUCUGUUUGUGUAUGUAGCUAGUUUAUUGUUAUAUGAUUAUUUCCCAACAACAUUUGCAUUUCCUUAGUAAUUAGCUUUUAGAAAAUAAGUUUGGUUUAAUUAGCUUUUAUUAGUUAGAGUUAUGAUUAGCUGUGUAGAUUUUUUUAUCUUUAUUUAUAACAAUCCAAGGUUUAAACUGUCAGAGAUUAAUUAUUGCAUUUCCUUAGUAAUUGUUACUAUUGUUGUUGCUUCUUUUGCCAAUGUAUUGGCAUUUUGUGAUUUCUUGAAGAAUUUGGCAUAUGUUUUGUGUCGAUCCUAAUUUCCUCAUCAUCUCCUUAUUCUUGCUAUCUUGGCCUCUCGCUUUUUCCUAUUCUCUCUAUUGCAUCUUUGUCUUCUCUUUGCAUGAUAUCAAUAUUUGAAUGACGAUACAUUUUUGUAAGCAGUUUGAUUUUCUGUAGAAAAAAGUUUGAACAUUACAACACAUUUUUGUUCUCCUAGAUUCCCGCACCUUUUGUUUCAAAUUGUCGAACCACCCGACAAUUUCUGUUUUAUUUUUCCUAAAAAAAUUAGGUCAAAUGACUACUGAAAGAUCGGAGGUUGGAAAGACUUGUUGAUGCUGAUCUAAAUGGAAAUUAUAUUGACGAUCAAGUGGAGCAGCUGAUCCAAGUAGCUCUACUGUGCACACAAGGCUCCCCAGGGGAACGGCCCAAGAUGUCAGAGGUUGUCCAAAUGCUUGAAGGCGAAGGCGAAGGUUUGGCUGAAAGAUGGGAGGAGUGGCAAAACAAGGAGAUGAUCCGCCAAGAUUUCAACACUAUUCAUCAUCCAAGUACUUGGAUCAUAGACUCACCUUCUCCUAAUUUUGUGUUGUACUAUUUCUGUGAGUUUGAAGAAAUGGAUAAAAAGAAAGGAAAACCAAUGAAAAAGGCUUGAAAACUUUGAGUUUUAAUGAUAAGGACAAAAUAAAGGGUAAAGUGAAUAGUACCAGGAUUGACUUUUUAGUGUAAAAAUGUGGUUUUUCAUUAAAGUGAACAGUACCGGAUGCUUUUCGUUAAAGUUCCCUAAAAAGAAUGACAUGUGAUAGAGAGUUCAUCAUAUAGCUUCUGACUUUAAGGAUUUUUCAUUUAGUUCUAGUUCAUGUUGCGCAAAAAAUAUUAGGUAACACUGCUACUGGGGCUAUUGCAGGAGGGGUUGCUGUUGGUGCUGCUUUACCGUUUGCUGCACCUGCAAUUACACUUGCUUAUUGGCGACGGAGAAAACCACAGGAUCAUUUCUUUGAUGUACCUGGUUAGUGAACUAUAGGAGUAAUAUAGCUUGAUAAAGGUGGUGUUGUAGUAUGGGAUGGAGGUUUCACUAAUCUACUGUCUUUGCAGCUGAGGAGGAUCCAGAAGUUCUUUUAGGACAGCUCAAAAGGUUUUCUUUGCGCGAACUACAAGUUGCAACGGAUACCUUUAGUAACAAAAAUAUUCUUGGUAGAGGUGGAUUUGGUAAGGUUUAUAAAGGACGCUUAGCUGAUGGAACUCUGGUUGCUGUAAAAAGACUUAAAGAGGAGAGAACCCAACGUGGGGAGCUACAGUUUCAAACAGAGGUUGAAAUGAUUAGCAUGGCUGUCCACCGCAAUCUGCUUCGUCUGCGUGGUUUUUGCAUUACACGAACAGAAAGGCUGCUUGUAUAUCCUUAUAUGGCUAAUGGAAGUUUGGCAUCAUGUUUACGAGGUACUCUUCUAAAUUGUUUGCUGCGUUGAUAAAUCUUCUUGUUUUCACGAAAUUAAAAAAUGGGUAAAUUACAUUUUACACCCUCAGGUUUGAGUGUAAUUGUAACCUCAUACAAUAUUUUUAAAACAUUUCAAUUUUAUACAUUUCCUUAUCAUUUCUAGCAAUUUCAUACAUCUGUUAGUCAAACCGUGAGUUUGACUGUUAAGGAAUGACAUGGCAAAUGUGAGGUCCACAUUUUUAUUGACGGGGAUGCCAACUAUGAUUCACGUGGAAUAAAAACAAAUAAAAAAGAUUAAUAAAUAGAAAAUUAAAUUUUUUUAUAAUUAAAAACUAAAAAAAUAGAAAAGAUAAAAAAAAUGGUGUUGUUCAUCCCUUUCCUGCUCUCACCCCGUCCCCGCAUUCUUCAUUUCCCCCCGCCCACCAUCGCCACCUUCCCUUUCCUCAGCCACUGCAAUGAAUAGACCACAUUACCUGUUGCUUGUAAUUUGAAAUUCUCCUCUCAUAAGUAUGUGGAUAUAUUAUUGUAGAUCGUCCAGAAGGACAACCUGCACUUGAUUGGCGAAUAAGACAACGCAUUGCAUUGGAAUCUGCAAGAGGCCUUGCUUAUUUACAUGAUCACUGUGAUCCAAAAAUUAUUCACCGUGAUGUGAAAGCAGCAAACAUAUUGUUGGAUGAGGAAUUCAAAGCAGUUGUUGGAGACUUUGGGUUGGCUAUACUCAUGGACUACAGGGAUACACAUGUUACCACAGCUGUACGUGGCACAAUUGGUCAUAUAGCACCAGAGUACCUUUCAACUGGAAAAUGUUCCGAGAAAACUGAUGCUUUUGCAUACGGAGUCAUGCUUCUUGAACUCAUCACUGGGCAGAGGGCUUUUGAUCUUGCUCGGCUUGCGAAUGAUUAUGAUGUCAUGUUACUUGAUUGGGUAUGCUUUUACGUCUUUCUGUUUCUGUUUGUUGCUAAUUUAUUGUUAUAUGCAAGAUUAUUUUCCAACAAUAUUUGAAUGAGGUCCACCUUUGAGAGUUUUAACGAAAAGUCCACGGUACUGUUCACUUUAACGAAAAAUCAUAUUUUUACAUUAAAAAGUUAAUCCUGAUACUAUUCACUUUACUCUUUAUUUUGUCUUUAUCGUUAAAACUCAAAGUUUUGAAGCCUUUUUCAUUAGUUUUCCUUAAUAUCUUUCAUAUUUUAUAAAAUAAAAAAAAAGACAUAAUGUUGUUGAAAUUCAACGAUAUUCUUGCUUCGAUCUAUUGUUUCCCUAAGUCCAAAUCUUGGAAAUUAUGUUUCAAUACUCAUUUUAAAGAAAUGUUAUAUAAUAUACUGUAAAUUAGGUGUAUCUCUCGAUACCAAUGUUGCUAUUUAUUUAAGCCAAAAAUAAUGGGUCUCGACACCUAAUCACUUUAUUUCAAACCGCUAAUCUCAUAUGACAUUCUUAAUCAUUGUAUAUGGAACAUUUCUGCAAUCAUUUUAGUUGGUUCUUUGCAAUACUUUAAAAACCUAUUACUCAUCAUAGAGCUGCCAAGUUCCUGUCUAAUUAAUGUAAAAAUCACUUAGUCUUUUUUGGCCCGAAUAUUGAAAACAAUUAGAAUCAUGGAUCAAAGAAAAGAAAUAAUACUUAACUUUUAGAAAAUAACUUUAGUUUAAUUAGCUUUUAUUAGUUAGACUUACGAUUAAGCUGUGAAGAUUUAUUUAUCUUUAUUUACAACAAUCUAAGAUUUAAAUUGUCAGAGAUUAAUUAUUACAUUUCCUUGGUAAUUGUUGUUAGUAUUGUUGUUGCUUCUUUUGCCAAUGUAUUGGCCUUGCUGUGAUUUCUUGAAGAAUUUGGCAUGUGUUUUGUAUCGAUCCUAAUUUCCUCAUUAUCUCUUUAUUCUCGCUAUCUUGGCUCUUUCUUCUUUUUAUUCUCUGUUUGCAUCUUUGUCAUAUGUUCGCAUCACAUCAAUAUUUGAAUGACGAUGCAUUUUUGUAAGCAAUUUGAUUUUCUGGAGAUACUGCGGCCCUUCAAAUUUUGAACAUUACAACACAUUUUCACUCUCCUAGGUGCCCUCACCUUUUGUUUCAAAUUGUAGAACUAUCUGAUUUUGUUCCUUUUUAUUUUAACUAAAAUAAUUAGGUCAAAGGACUACUGAAAGAUCGGAGGUUGGAAACACUUGUUGAUGCUGAUCUAAAUGGAAAUUAUGUUUACGAUCAAGUGGAGCAGCUCAUCCAAGUAGCUCUACUAUGCACACAAGGCACCCCAGGGGAACGACCCAAGAUGUUAGAGGUUGUCUGGAUGAUGGAAGGGCGAUGGUUUGGCUGGGAGGAGUGGCAAAAAGAGGAGGUGUUCCACCAAGAUUUCAACCCUAUUCAUCAUCCAAGUACUAAUUGGAUCACAGACUCAACUUCUCAUAUUCCUCUGGAUGAGUUGUCUGGUCCCAGAUGAUAUGCUCGUUGGUUCUGUCCCCUGUAUACAUGUAAGAAGCCUCAGAGGACUGUAGAAGGUCCAUUUUGUAUUUCAGUGAUACAACAUUUGUGCAUAUGUUUUGUCUUUGUUUUCGAUUUUGUUUUUGUCUCUCGUAUUUUUUAGAUCACAAAAAUGGAGCUGGUGCUGUUGUAAUUUUUAUAGGGUUAACUGGCAUUACGAAGUUAUAUGGUGCUAGCAGGAAUUAGGAAGGGCCAUAAAAGCACCCAUUCCUGAUGAUUUAUGUAUCUAUCCAGAAAUUAGUUCAGAUUGUCGAGUAAAUAAUCAUUCUGAAGUUAUAACUAUAUAUAUUUUUUAGUGUUCCAAUAGAUCCUAUAGAUACGAUAAGGACACUAGGUCAAGUGCGUUCCUAUAGAUCCUUUAGAUACGAUAAGGACACUAGGUCAAGUGCACGGCUGCUUGUGGACGGAUAGUGUUUGAAAUUUCAUCGUGAUCAUUGCAAGUGUGACUUUGUGGCACUACCCUUAUAAGUACUUGAACUAAGGCAUUAGGGAUCAAGAGAUCACUUUGUGUCAUUCCAAAACAGGAAUUUGAGCUCUGUCUAUCCUCUUUAAAGUAUCGUCAAUGGGGAUCCCUCUACUAUCUUUGAGGAUUUAUUUAAGACCAACUGUAGGGUAAGACCCAAACCUAAAUUUCUAAGUUUAAACAAAAUAAAAAUGCAAUCUAAUUGUGGGAUUUUUUUGUUUUUUUUGAACAAAAUAUAUUAUCUAGAUUAGGUUAAGCUUUACAGUGGGCUAGUAAUAAUAUGGUUCAAAUUUGUCUUUGGCGAAAAUCGAACCUAAAGACCUCUAUUAUAUGUGAAGAGAAAUAUCAGUAAACUGUAGUACUAGAUAGUAUCUAAUGGUUGGACUUAAAGCUAAAAAGUUUGGCUUUUACCCAAGCUAAACCCAAAUUUGGGUUUUGUAUUUGGCAGACCCAAAUUUUUGGGGGCCCUACCUUUUUUUUUCUGAAAAGCAACGGGCGAAUGAUGUAUUGAAGUGGCCGACAGAUGGGUCCCUCACCUAGCAGAGUCCCAGCUGCAAAACAGUAACAGUUUAAGCAACUACGAGCCAUUCGAUUUGUGGGCCAUUGGUGAUCAACGGUCUAGGUUAAAAUCCUUUCAUGCUUUGCAAUCUUUAAAUUUUGAUCUAAUUGUUCAUAUAUAUAUUUUUUCAAAUCUAACGGUAAAAUAAAUCCAACUACUGAAAUUUAAAUUCAACGUCAAAAAUUAUUUUAUUUAGAACAUAUCCAUUAUACAUUUGGAUGGUUGGUGUGGUUUGUUCGGUUUUGAAUUUUUUGUUGAAAUUUAAUUUUUUUAAUGUCAAAACACUUGUCAAAUUAAAUUAAAAUAAUAUAAUUCAAAAGUAAAAAAUUUAAAAAAAAAUCCUACCGAAAAAAAAUUAGGGUUAAAACUAUAUUCCACCACAAUUAGUACAUUUUAGGCCAUGAAAUUUAGAUCUUGAUGGUUGGGUGAUAUUCACUUCAUAGACUUAAAUUCUGUCUUUUGAUGGACUAAAUAUUUGGGUUUGGGUGUAAAGGUUGGAGCUGGUCUAAGGACUUUAAUGAAAUCUUAUAUUUCUAAACGAGUUGCCUCAUAUGAGAAAGUCCUUAUAGUAUAAAUCUUAAAUUUGAAGUUUACAUAAUUUUAUGUGAUACUUUCAUUGGAAGCUAAUUCUUUUAGUUAAUUUAACUUGAUUUUAUUGUAAAAUAUUUUUUUGUGAACAUUAUUACCCAAAAAAGUUCAAAAUUCUCGAAGCCAAAUUUUAUUCUUUAGAACUACAAUAGCUUUCAUUAUUGGCUAUGUCAUGGUCUAUUAUUUCUGAUCAGAAUCAGACCUGGACUCUUUGCAACGCUUGGUCAACUAAAUGAAUUAUUAAUUAAAAGUAGCUUGAUAAUCAUUUUGUUUUCAAUUUUUAAUUUUUAGCUUAUACUUUUCUAUUAUGAAAUUAAUCAAAAUGGUUCAUGAAAUUGGCAUAAUUAAUCAUUUCGGUUCCUGAGAUUUGAAAUUGCUAGAAGUGAUCCCUGAGUUUGUUAACUAUCAAUUAUUUUGAUCAUUCGAUUAAAAAUCUCUAUUGAAUAAGAAGCAUGUUUAUACCAUAUUUAGGGCCUCGUAUUUAGACCUCGUAUAAAUACUCGGGGGACUUAAAUGUAAUUAUGUGAUAAAGGAAGGGGCAAAUAUGUAAUAAGUGAGGAGUCCUUAUUCUAUAAAAGGACCCCUCACCCUCACAAUUAGAAAAAGGCCUCACUCUCACUCUCGAAAAAGCCAAAUUCUUAGGCCCUCUCACCCUCUCUCAACGCUCUCACUCUCAGAGCUCUCUCUCCUUCAAAUAAAUACAAUCAGUGUGGACGUAGCACAAACCUUGGGGUGAACCACGAUACAUCUUGUGUUAUUUACAUUUCAUGCAGAUUCACGGUCGGAUUUACGUUGUUCCAAGACCUCCGGUUUUGUGCAUCAACAUUUGGCGCCGUCUGUGGGAAACGACACGAAAAGUUAUGUCGGUUCUCUCUCAAUUUUUCAUCUCCGCCGUGAAUCUGCAGAAAUCCAAGAACCCAAAAACCUCACUUUUUGGGUUUCUCCAGAAAACUUUCGCAGACCUCCAACCACCUCUGCCUCCUCUCUCAGUCAGUCAACACGGAAACCAAAGAUUUCAGCUGCAAAUUCACCUGCUUUUGCAGCCCAUCCACGCCACCAUGUCCUCAUAUUUCCACCGAGUUCCAAAGUGCUCACCAGAAAAAAUGAUGGCUUCCAUGUCUUUCUCUACAACUUUUUCAACACCUUUACAGAUUUUUCUCAAGCAAAAACAAAAAUAAGCACGAAUUCUUUAGCUUUAUGCCCUCCCAUGGCGUGUUGGAUCAAAUCCUCACUUGGGUCUCCUAAUCGGCAUUUUUUCGAAAUGGGUGGUCUUUCCAAUCGGAGAAUUUUAAUGGGUUUCUGAUCAAAUCUUGGUCUUUGGUUGUCUAUGCUAAAGCAGCUACAACAACAUCUCUAUAUAUCUCUCAUGUCCCUCAUCUCUAUCUUGUCCCUCAUCGCUCAGCCUGACACAUCAAUCAACACACCCAACUGAAAGAGGGAUAGUUUCGUGAUUACCCUGAUUCCGCCAUGGGCAUUCCCUGCGACGACAUCGUCGUUAUCAAGCCGAGGAAGGCUCCUGAUGAGCCAUCCGUCCUCACCGUCAACUGUCCCAACAAGGCCGGCCUUAGCUGCGAUUAGGAGAGGUUAAAGGAUCAGCUCUCGUCCGCGUGCCCGUCGUCGUGCUUCUUCUCAUUUUAUCUCAAUCAAAUCUCCAACGUCCCAACGCCUUCUUCGGUCUAUCUGUUGAAGUUUUGGUGCCACGACCAGAGAGGCUCACUCCACGAUGUUUGAGCCAUUGUGCGAUUUGGGCAAGAAUUUAUGGGAUCUCGCGGUGGCCCAGAUGGUUUAUGAUGAUGUUGUUGGGGUUGGAGUGGUCGAGGAGAUCAAAAAUCAAUGGCUUUUCUCAGUUUUCAGCAUCUGUCAAUUUGGCGGAGGAACGAAAGAUGCCAAAAUUAACUGCUGAGAGUACCUGGGAUUUUGAGAUGUGAUUCAUUAUUGUAUCUGAUAAACAACUUAGAAUUGUCUCUGCCACGUGUUCCACACCGAGUGCAUUGACAGGGGGCUGGAGUAUAAUGAUCAUCAUCAUCACCAUCACGACGAGGACAAUCACAAAACUUGCCCGCUCUGCAGGACUCCAUUAUUGAUGUCAUUGUAGAAGCGGAGCCUGAGUUGGGACCUUGCAGGCUUAAAAGGGACGGUCAAAUAAGAGGCUUAUUUCACUGAACAAAGUUAAACAGCAUGAAAAAGGAGAUUCAAUGUGCGGAGAUCCAGUAUGGAACUGGUGCAAUUUCAGGUUUCUUCCACCAGGACCAUGUCCAAGUCGGUGAUCUUGUUGUUAAGGAUCAGGACUUUAUUGAGGCAACCAAAGAGCCUGGAGUCACGUUUGUGGCAGCUAAGUUUGAUGGUAUUCUUGGACUUGGAUUUCAACAUAUCUCAGUUGGAGAUGCUGUUCCUGUCUGGUAUAAUUUGGUCAAUCAAGGUCUUGUUAAAUAACCAGUUUUCUCAUUUUGGUUAAAUCGCAAUACAGAAGGGGAAGAAUGGGGUGAGAUUGUCUUUGGUGGGGUUGAUUCUAGUCAUUUCAAGGGUGAGCAUACAUAUGUUCCCGUGACUCAGAAAGGCUACUGGCAGUUUGAUAUGGGUGAUGUCUUAAUUGAUGGUGAAUCAUCUGGAUUUUGUGCUAAUGGCUAUUCAGCAAUUGCUGACUCAUGCACCUCCCUAUUGGCUGGACCAACGGAAGUAUGGAGAGGUGGUGGAGGCUGUGAUCAUGAGGGAUCGUGCAAAAGGGGAGAUAAGAUUAAUGUACUUAUCAUUCCUUGUCUGCCAUCUACAAAAGAGAAAAGAAGACAGAAACAAAAGCAAAAGUAAAGCAGAAAAGGAAAAGAGAAAAGAAGAAGAGAGGAACAUGGAGACAUUUCAAAAGCAAGGAAUAAACACCCCACCAGAAUGAUGUAUUUUUUUUAUCUUUCGGAAAUAUCUGUAUAAACCCCAUCAGAGGGUAACUAAAAAAAAAUAGCAAAGCCCAAAACAAAUGGGCUGCCAUGUUGUGGAGGGCGAAGGCUCAUAAGCCCGAAAUAGCACCAACCAGGUGAUCAAAAGUACGCCUAGUACUCCACAAUUAUUCGGCAACCCACCGCUAUUACCACCAACCAGGUGAUCAAAAGUACGCCCAGUACUCCAAAAUUAUUCGGCAACCUGCCGCUAUUACCACCAACCAGGUGAUCAAAAGUAUGCCCAGUACUCUAAAAUUAUUCGGUAACCCGCCGCUAUUACCACCAACCAGGUGAUGAAGUGUACAACCCGUACUCUAAAUAUCAUUUGGCAACUAGCCAUUCAUGCCACCAACCAGGUGAUGAAAUGUAAACCCGUACUCUAAUAUCAUUUGGCAACUAGCCAUUCAUGCCACCAACCAGGUGAUGAAAUGUACAACCCGUACUCUCCUUCAUGCCACCAACUAGGUAAACAAAAGUACGCCCAAUACUUCAAAUUAUACAUGAGCAUUACUCAUGUCAAUCAUACAUAAACAUUCAUGAGCAUCACUCAUAUCAAUCAUACAUAAACAUUCAUGAGCAUCACUCAUGUCAACAUUCAUAAGCAUCACUCAUGUCAACAUCCAUGAGCAUCACUCAUGUCAAUCAAACAUUCAUGAGCAUCACUCAUGUCAAUUAAACACUCAUGAGCAUCACUCAUGUCAAUCAGCUUCAAAAGCUUCAUUUACAAAAGCUCUAGCUUCAAAAGCUUCAUUUACAGAGCUCCAGCUUCAAAGCUUCACUUGCAAAGCUUCAUUUACAAAGCUUCAGUGCAGGAUAUACAAAUACCACCUCCGAACAACCGCCACUUCGGCCCAUACAUGGAUUCAAUUUGAAGUCUCUAGCUAACAGACUCUAUUGACUGAAGACUUGAGGGACUACACUAUACACCAUAUAUUGGGCCUCAACUAGGCCUCAUGAAAAAUACUUGGGGGACUCUAGCCCAUUAUUUAUGUAUUGAGGAGCGAGCCCUUAUUUUAUAAAAGGGAUUCCCUCACCAUCAUUAGAGCAGCAUCAACUAUAGCCCAUUAUUCAUGUAUUGAGGAGCGAGCCCUUAUUUUAUAAAAGGGACUCCUUCACCAUCAUUAGAGAGCAACGCCGCCAGCUGAGCAACCGUCUCGCCGCGAGCAUCAACUCUAGCCCAUCAUUUAUGUAUCGAGGGAACGAGCCCUUAUUCUAUAAAAGGGACUCCUCACCAUCAUUAGAGAGCAUCAACUCUAGCCUAUCAUUCAUGUAUUAAGGAGCGAGCCCUUAUUCUAUAAAAGGGACUCCCUUAUCUUCAAACGCCGCAAGCCGAGCCAACCAAGGCGCCAUAAGCCACGAGCUGAGCAGCAUCGCAGCAUGUGCUACUUCUAAUUGAGCGUCAUUUCAGAUUGAGCACCGCCUCAUAUCAAACAUCAGUUCAAGAUAACAUCUAGUUACUUCGGCCCACACAUGGACUGAAUUUCAAGUCUCCAGCCAAAAGACUCUCUUGACUGAAGACUUAGGGGACUACUGUUUAUACCAUAUUUAGGGCCUCGUAUUUAGACCUCGUAUAAAUACUCGGGGGACUUAAAUGUAAUUAUGUGAUAAAGGAAUGGACAAAUAUGUAAUAAGUGAGGAGUCCUUAUUCUAUAAAAGGACCCCUCACCCUCACAAUUAGAAAAAGGCCUCACUCUCACUCUCAAAAAAGCCAAAUUCUUAGGCCCUCUCACCCUCUCUCAACGCUCUCACUCUCAGAGCUCUCUCUCCUUCAAAUAAAUACAAUCAGUGUGGACGUAGCCCAAACCUUGGGGUGAACCACGAUACAUCUUGUGUUAUUUACAUUUCAUGCAGAUUCACGGUCGGAUUUACGUUGUUCCAAAACCUCCGGUUUUGUGCAUCAACAAAGCAAAUGACAAAAAUAACCUCAAUUCAAUAAAUAAUGGACCGUAAUAAUUUGACAAAAAUUGAAGAUAAUUUUUUUUUUUUUUUACGAAAUGAUCAUGUUGAAUAAAAUCAGAAAUCUCAAAACAAAGUGAGGAAUUGCAUAACAAUUUCAGAUAUCAGCUAAAAAGUAAAAAAUAAAUAUAAACAAAAGAAGAAACGAAACUUCCGACGCUGUGGGCUGCGACUUUGACUGAUUGAGAGUCCUCCAUCCGCAGCUCCUUCGUCUUCCUCCCAAACCUUUUACCUUUCUUCUUUCUUCUCCAAAACUAGCAAGCUGAGAUUUCAACCUCUCUCUCUCUAAGAAGCAGCGGCAUGCUUUUCCAAACUCAAUCUGCAAUUUAAUCAAACAGCCACCGAAUUUUCUCUAAUCCGGUCAACGCAGAGAUGCUUCGGAUUUUGAUCGGUCAACGCCAGCUGCUCACCUGAGCACCAACGGGCCCAACAGUGAUGACGUCCUCCGCCCCUGUUUCUGUUUGGCUGAUUCUGCUGUUUGGAACCUCCAUAAGCUCGCUGCCAACAUAGAAGGUAUGUCUGUGUCUCUGUGUUUUUGAAUUUGGGUGUGUUUGGUUGCGGGAAUUGGAAUGAACUAACGAAUGAAUGAAUGAAUGAUUGGAUUUGACAGGUGACGCAUUGAACGCGUUGAAGACCAAUCUAGCUGAUCCAAACAAUGUUCUGCAGAGUUGGGAUCCGGCUCUCUACAAUCCCUGCACCUGGCUUCAUGUCACUUGUAAUAGCAAAAACAGGGUUACUGUGGUGUAAGCAAACCCAACAAACACCUCCUUUUCAAUUCAGUUCAAUUCAAUUCGAUUCGAUUCAGUUCAGUUCAAUUCACUUGUAACAGCGGAAAUAGCAUUACGGGAAGUUUUUAACAUUUUUGCUCCACCCAGUGAUCUUGCCAAUGCCAAUCUCUCUGGUCAUCUGGUGGCACAGCUUGGUGUGCUUUCCAAGUUGCAGUACUUGUAAGCAUGUUUUUCGCUCUGAUUUUUUGUUCGGGUCUUAUCCAACUGUUCCAUCACUAUGCAUUCGAAUUGAAAUUGGUAUUGAUACAUGACUGAUGAAUUUCACAACUGCAUUUGACAUUAUUGAAACACACUUUCUUGACAGGGAACUUUCCAAUAAUAGCAUAACUGGAAACAUUCCCGAAGAGAUUGGGGGUUUGUCAGACUUGGUGAGCUUGGAUCUUUACUUGGCAACCUUGCAAAACUGCGUUUCCUGUAUGAACCCCCAUCCCUUUGUUAGAUAAAAUCUAUCGUCUUUCUUUUUUUAUUUGAUAUGCUAAUUAUGCUGUUCGGCUCAACCCAAUAUUGUGGUCAAGGCAUGUAGCUUGAGUUUUGACUUUUUCUAGGAGUGGGUCCUGAACAGUAAGGGGCCUUAACAUCGGAAUAUUUACAUAAAUAUACUAGCGAUAGAACCCGCGCGAUGUCGCGAGUUUUAAAACUUUGUUAAACGUAUGCAAAUAUAUUAAAAUCUAAUUAUAUCCAUAUCAAAGAAAUAUCUAUUUACAUCCUCAUAUUCAAUAAGGGAAAAAGAUAUAUAUAUAAAUGUAGGAUAUAUCACAUAUUAAAAUUUGUCUACAUCCAUACCAAAGUCUAUUUGCAUCCUUACGUGUAAUAAUGAACAAAAGAUAGGUAUUUGAAGAAUACAUUACAUAGAAAAAGUUGUGGAUUAAGUUGUUCAUACAAAUACAAUCAUAUAAAAAUAUAUUCAUUUUCCUUGUCCCAACUUUUCUACAUUCAGUACUUCACUCUUCUUUCUUCUUUGUUUUUCUGUAGAUGAGGAUGUACAUUUUUCCUCAAGUAAUCUGUUCAAGAUAAAUUCAUUGGUUAGGCUUCUGAAUCAUAUGAGCCUUUAAUUGGCUUAUAAAAAUGCUCAUUUUUCAUAUGAGAAGGACAACCAGUUUAGAGUUUCGAAAGAUAAAUAAAAAUUCCAAUUCUCACCAAGAAAAAAAGCCGAAGAAAUACAAUGGGUUUAGAUGAGAGACGAAGUCUUUACCAACUAACAAAUGAAGUAAAUCAUGUUGUUCAAUACUUGAGCUUCCAAUUUAGUACACUUACAUCUUCAAUCUCCAACAAAACAAAACAAAAAAAUUGAAAAAUCAUUUAGUAUAAUUGUCACAACAUGUUGAAGAUGCAUGUACCCAACCAAUUGCUUCACCGUUCACCUAUAUCCUCGGUGCUAUAAAUUCGAAUAAAAAACCAGUAAAUAAAAGUGGUUAAGCAAAAACCCUCACUUCUCAUUACAUGUUGAAAUUUCUUUAAGCUCUAAACCUACUCCCAUUGUGUUACUUUUGUAGUGCAUGUUGUGCCUUGGUCGUUCGUCAGUGCAGAAGUGAGAUUCAGAUUGUCUCACCAAACUACAGACCCACAGUUGAACAGUUUAAAUUACAAGAAAUAAAUACACUGAGAAAUUUACGAGGUUCGGCAAAAAUCUGCCUACGUCCUCCAAGAGAUAUUGCUCUUCACUAUGAGAAUAACUAGUACAAGAUACACUUGAGUUAAAUUAACAUAACCCAAACCCCAAUCCUUUGUACCCUCACAGAAUUUUACUAAGAGCCUCACUCUCUCCAAGAGUUUCUCACUCUCACUCUAUAUUUUCUCUCCUUUGUGUUCUCCUUCGGAUGCUCUCUCAAAUGCAUUUCUAAAUGCACAAAUAUUGCAUCUAGUUAUACGCAUACACUAGCAACUAUGCCAACAAACAAGACCCAAAAGUCUUAAGUUCACAUGACAUAAUUAUCACCUAGCCUACCUAGCAUGCAUCAAAGUCUAUACCUAGUCUAUAAAGUACAACUUUUCUCCAUUUGUCAUUUAAUACAUAUAAAAUAAAACAUGCACAAUAAAACAUGCACAAUUGUGUGCAAGCAACCAUAAAGUCAAGUCUUGCUUCCAACUUUGCUUGUGGUAGUCACCAUGUCUUCUCUUGAAACAAGACAUCCAUGCCAUAACCGAAAGCCAAACACAAAGUGGUUACUGCCAUUUCCCUGUAGCACUCAGAAAGUUACACUAUCAAAAUUGUUGCCAACUCAUAAGUAUAUGAGCCAAGCACAACAGUGCAUACACUACAAAAACCAAAAAGAAAAUGCUGCAAAGGGGAAAUUGGAAAAUCAUAUCACCAGCAAACAUUGCACGAAAGGCAUCUGAAGAAGCAAGCAGGCAAGUUCUGUGAGCAUACCAUCUACCUGCAAUUGGUCAGUAGAAAUUUAAAGAGGUACUUUAUGUUAACAAUACAAUCACACACGCUAAUUGAAUACUCUGUGAUUAAGAAAAAGAAGAGGAACUCACGCUGUGCUUCUUGAAAACUGGCGAGAGAACUGGAACUGGGUUGGAAGAAUGUACUGGAAGCAAAUGGAACACCCCAGCUUUUUCAGCCUCGUCAUGAAAUAAUAUUAACAAUUCGGUCAAGUAUAAAACCAUCUGCCAGUUAUGGUUUUUGUAAAUUAUGUAGAAGCCAAAUAUCUAAUAAAUAGUCUAACAAUAAUUAAGUAAUCUGGUUUAAGAUUAAUCAAAAAGCUUGGGAAUUUCAGCUGUUAAAUCACACCUCAGGCUGCAACUCGACAAAGUCUGCGAAAUCACAAUCCAAAAUGCGAUCUUCAGUCUUCCGGCCUCUGUUGCAAAAAUUAAUCCCACAGUCCCCAAAAAAUAAAAAACUUGAAGUUUGAUUUGAAAUUAAAAAUUCAUUCUUUGAAGAUAAAUUCCAAAAAUUUAAAAUUAUAUGCGAGAGAGAGACCUUGUUAAUAUUCGGAGUUAGAGUGAGGAGUUCUCGAAUUGGGAGCGGCGGGGUUUCGUUGCAAAUUUUCCGAAGAAAAUUUCCACGAAUGAAGGGUCAUCGCGAUUUUUUGGCUGGAGGAAAUGAGGUUUUAAGAUUUUUGGAAUUUUGAGUGAAUGGACAGUGUGGCUGGUUGCGAGACAGAGAAAGAGAAGUUGGGGUGUUUUCGUCCCCUUUAAUAUCUGUUGUUGUUGCGAUUAUUUGUGAUUUAAUUAGCACUUUCUUUUCCACGAAAUAGGCGCCCAUACAACAACAGCUUGUCAGGGCGUAUUCCCGUGACUCUGACUAACAUUCAAUCAUUGCAAGUCCUGUGAGUUUCGUACACUUUCAUCUCAGUAAGAGGGAGGAGAGGGAAGUUGCUAAUUUCUCCGCCAUCAGAGAAUGCAAAUAACAUAUAGUUUUGCCAUGGAAUGCAGGGAUCUUUCAAAUAACAAUCUGACAGGGGAUAUUCCAGUCAAUGGAUCUUUUUCACUUUUUACUCCCGUCAGGUUUGUUGAACCCACUUUACUUUUUUUUUCUUUACCUUUUUUCCUGCGGUGGCUGUCCCAGCGGACGAUCUAAAUGAUGUACUGACUGCUAUUAUUCAUUUUGUAGUUUUUCCAAUAAUCCUCGUCUGAAUCCACCUCCUCCCGUUUCUCCAACCCCACCAAGUUCUCCAGGUUUUUACAACUUAUACUGUUCUUGUGAUAUUAACUCAAAUUUAUUUUGAGAACAGUUGAAUAUCAGAGUACUAGACUACAAAAUAAGAAUAUUAUUACACAAAUAAGAAUGGCAAAACGGUUGCAAAAUUUAAAAACACUACAUUGUGACACACUUGUUCUAAAGAAAAUAACAUGCAUCCUAUUUAUAAUAAAUUAUAACCUUAAUCUCUAACAAAUCCUAAUUUUAACGGGCUGACCUCAAAUCCUAAACUUAUUACUUUCCAGCUGGCUCUGUUUUGUUUCACAGACACUUGUGAUAUCGACUCCAGUCCAUUGGUAGUUAAUGUUUUUUCUUGGUGUUUUUCUGUUAAAUUUUUUUCAUAGUACAACAUUAUUGUUGGAAUCACUGCUGUAAAGAUUCUAAGAAGAUGGUAGUUAGGAAAGGAAUGGAUUGAGGAUCCGAGAGGAUACUCCUAAAUUCCUAUGAGUUUGAAGAAAUGAAUUAAAACAAUGACAUGUGAGAGGGAGUUCAUCAUAUAACAUCCGACUUUUAAGGAUUUUUCAUCUCGUUCUGGUUCAUGUUGUGCAAAUAACCCUUCCCUUUUAACUCUGGUGGUUCAUAUUAGGUGCCGGAUUCGGUGAAAUAGUGUCCGGAUUCUGUAUCGGUACGGACGUACCAUUACUUUAGCGAUUCGGUGGUGAAUUCAGUGGUUCAUCUAAUCAUAUCUGAUAAUUUCUAAUCAGAUUACAGAAAAGAAAACGCACCUGUAAUUUUUGGAAAGAGAGGAGCGAAACAACUGGAAUUUUGGGAAGCUCGGUGCUUCUGGUUUUCAUCGGGCAGAGAGAAGACGAAGAGGGAGAGGAAGAGAGAAAAUAUUACUUUCACUUUUUGGAUUUAAUUCUUUUGAUUCGAACAAAAUUUGUUGAAUUGAGGUAGCAGAUCUCUUGCAAUCUACAACUCUCCAACAAAACAAUGACUGUGUAUUUCAAGUUUGUAAAUUUUCACCUUUUUUUUUAUUUUUCACCAGAUAAGUUAAUUUCUAGAUUUGUUCAAUUUGGACUGUUAGAGAGAUUUGUAAAGGGUGGAGAGAUCACGUGUUUGUACAAGUGGUGAGAUUCUUAUGUUAAAAAUUAUUAAUAACAUAAAAAAUAAAAUUUUCCACAAUUUAUAUAAUAACACGUGAUGUAUCACUUGUGUUACGAUCACAAGGAUAAAAUUUUCAAUAUAAUGGAUCUAGAGUAAAGUACAAAAAAUUACUUCAACUAUUGGUGUCACGACACUUUCAUACCUCAUCUUUUAAAAUUGAUAAUGUCAUACCUCAUCUUAUGAAUUUGUGUCCAUGUUAUACAUUCCGUUAGGUUGGCGUGCAUUUCUCAGUUAAAUGCUGACGUGACUUGAUCUUGGGGCAAUUUUCUAUUAAAAAAUUAUUAAAAACUAAAAAAAAAUAUUUAAUAUUUUUUAAAUAUUAAAAAAAAAAAAACCAAACAAACACUCAGUCAGUUCAUCCCCUCCCCCCUUCUCUCUCUUCUUCCCCCUUCCUACAACUCCAACCCAGAAAAAAGAAGAGAGAAAAAAUAAAAAACCAAUUUGUCUUCCCCCUCCCCACCCCCUCUUCUCCCCGCACCCACUCUCCACACCCAACCACCCCACCUUCGCACCCAACCUCGCACCCAUUACCUGCAACCCAAAAAAAAACAAAAAAACCCAGAAGAAAAAAAACCAUAUCCCGUUGAGGUGGAAUCGGGAAGCCUUCGCCAGGCCGAUUCCGAAGGUUGAGAACCUGGGCGCGAAGAAAAUGGGGGGAAUGGGUGUGGAGGGAAGAGGGUGGGUGCAGGGGGGACGGACGAACUGGGUUUCUUAAAACAAAAAACAAAAAAACCCAGAAAAAAAUAAUAAUAUCCCGUUGAGGUGGAAUCAGACCUGCAGCGAACACAAGGAACUGUUGUCCAGAGAUCCCGCCCAAAAGAGUUAUGGGUUUACCAAACUCUGUUUGGGUACCAAGUAUUGGAACCGGGUAAAUCUAGACCCUUCUCUGCGACUAGAUCAUAUAAUCUCCAUAGCUGUCCAAAACGGACUACUAUUGGAUCCUCUUAAGUUGCUUUCCAGCGACUAGAGACGAUAGGCGCAUUGAAGAAUUCUUCGAUCGAGACUGCCAGAUCAAUAGCCGUCGUCAAGUAUGCCUUCGCCAGGCCGAUUCCGAAGGUUGAGAACCUGGGCGCAAAGAAAAUGGGGGGAAUGGGUGUGGAGGGAAGAGGGUGGGUGCAGGGGGGACAGACGAAUUGGAUUUCUUAAAACAAAAAAACCCAGAAAAAAAAAACCAUAUCCCGUUGAGGUGGAAUCGGGAAGCCUUCGCCAGGCCGAUUCCGAAGGUUGAGAACCUGGGCGCGAAGAAAAUAGGGGGAAUGGGUGUGGAGGGAAGAGGGUGGGUGCAGGGGGGACGGACGAACUGGGUUUCUUUUCUUCUUCUUCUUCUUCCUCCUUCUUUCUAGGUUUUUUUUUGGGGAGGGGGGGGACUGGGUUGGGUUAGGUUUUUUUUGUUUUUUUUUUUCUUUUUCUUCUUCCUCCUCCUCCUUUUUUUGGGUUGCAGGGGGUUGGGUUUGUGGUGGGGGGUUUUUUUUUUUUUUUUCCUUCUUCUUCUUCUUCCUCCAUCUUCUUUCUGAGUUUGUUGUUAGGGGGGGGGGAGAACUGGGUUGCAGGAAGAUGGGGAGAGAGAGACGGGUGGGAAGGACGAACUGACUUGAGGUUUUUUUCUUUUUUUCUUUACUUUUCUUUAUUAUUUUAAUAUUUAAAUAAUAUUAAAUAAUUUGUUUUAGUUUUUAAUAAUUUUUUAUUAACUUUUUAAUAGAAAAUGGGUCUCGGAUCAAGUCACGUAAGCAUUUACCUGAGAAAUUCACGCAAACCCUAACGGAAGGUAUAACAUUGGCAUAAAUUCGUAAGAUGAGGUAUGACAUUGUCAAUUUUAAAAGAUGAGAUAUGAAAGUGUCGUGACACCAAUAAUUGAGAUAGUUUGUACUUUAUCCAUGGAUCUAUCAGCACUCUUUUCUUAUUAUGUUAGUGGAGGGACCCAUCUGCAGUGUUGAUAUUUUUUAUAGAAGAUGUAAACAGUCGGUGACCCAUAGCAUUUCCCAAGUUCCAUAUUAAUUUGACAAUAUUUAUAUUAUUCUGAUUAGAAAUUUAACAGAAUUAAUUGUUUUUUAUUUGUAACAAAUAAUUGCUUACAAAUAAUCAAUUCUAUUAAAAAUAAUUGCUUACAAUAAACAAUAACUAUAAUUAAAAUGUAUAUAUAUUAUAAUUUUUUUUAAUUUAUAUUUUUUAACGAAUUGAGAACGAAUCGAGCUAAAUAUCAUAUUGUCUAUGUGUACACACUAACGAAUAGUACUAUAGGUUACAACCGAAUUCCGUACCCGAACAGAAUUACGAACUCGCACCGUGCCACUAAUACUGCGGCUGUUGCUGGUGCUGCUUUGCUGUUUGCUGCUCCUGCAAUUGCACUUGCUUAUUGGCGACGAAGAAAAUCACAGGAUCAUUUAUUUGAUGAACCUGGUUAGUGAACUAUAAGAGUAAUAUAGCUUGAUCAAGUUGGUGUUGUAGUUGUUGAAUGGGAUGCAGGUUUCACUCAUCUACUGUCUUUGCAGCUGAGGAGGAUCAAGAAGUUCAUUUACGACAGCUCAAAAGGUUUUCUUUGCGCGAGCUACAAGUUGCGGAUACCUUUAGCAACAAAAAUAUUAUUGGUAGAGGUGGCUUUGGUAAGGUUUAUAAAGGAUGCUUAGCUUUGGCUUUUGGUAGAGGAGGAUCAAAAGUAUUAUUGGUCGAGUUGGCUUUGGCUUUGGCAAGAUUACAAUUCAACAGUCCGGUCCCAAAUGAUAUGCACAUUGGUUCCGUUCCCUGUAUACAUGUAAGAAGCCUUCAGAGGACUAGAGAAGAUCCAUUUUGUAUUUCAGUCAUACCACACUUGUGCAUAUGUUUUGUCUUUGUUUUUUAUUUUGUUUUUGUCUCAUGUAUUUUUUAGAUCACAAAAAUGGAGCUGGCGUUGUUUUAAUUUUUAUAGGGUUAACUGGCAUUACGAAGUUAUAUGGUGCUAGCAUGAAUUAGGAAGGGCCAUAAAAGUACUCGUUCCUGAUGAUUUAUGUAUCUAUCCAGAAAUUAGUUCAGAUUGUCGAGUAAAUAAUCAUUCUGAACUUAUAACUCUCUAUAUUUUUUUAGUGUUCCUAUAGAUCCUAUAGUUACGAUAAGGACACUAGGUCAAGUGCAUGGGUGUUUGUGGAUAGAUAGUGUUUGAAAUUUCAUUGUGAUCAUUGCAAGUGUGACUUUGUGGCACUACCCUUAUAGGUACUUGAACUAAGGCAUUAGGGGAUCAAGAGAUCACUUUGUGUCAUUCCAACACAAGAAUUCGAGCUUUGUCUAAUCUCUUUAAAGUAUCGCCAAUGGGGAUCCCUCUACUAUCUUUGAGGAUUUAUUUAAGACCAACUAUAGGGUAAGACCCAAACCUAAACAUUUGAGUUUAAACAAAAUAAAAAUGCAAUCUAAUUGCGGGACUUUUUUGUUUUUUUGAACAACAAAUAUUUUCUACACGAAAAGGGUGGGAGAUUAGGUUAAGCCUUACAGUGGACUAGCAAUAAUAUUGUUCAAAUUUUCUUUUGGCGAGAAUCGAACCUAAAUACCUCUCACUUAUAUGUGAAGAAGUAAUACCACUAAACCGUAGUACUAAGUGGCAUCUAAUGGUUGCACAUAAACCUAAAAAGUUUGGCUUUUGACCCAAGCUAAACCCACAUUUGGGUUUGUAUUUGGCUGACCCAAAUUUUUGGGGGCCCUACUUUUUUUGUUUUUGAAAGGUGAAAAUUGUUUAAAAAGUAAGACUACUUGUGGGUUAAACUACCGCAAACCCUCAGUUAGCAUGCAAGGUUUUAUGAAGAGUUAAUGAUCUCAUUCAGAUUCAGGAUGGAACUUCAUCUUCCUUAAUUGUACUAAAGCAUAUUAACUUACAUGACGUUAUGUGUGAAAAUUAUAAGAAAUUGCGCCAUUCAUCUAUUGUCAAUUGGUUUAAAAAGUGAAACUCAUUUUCUUUCAAAUUUUCAUAAAACUGAGGCUAAACGUAUGUGGACCUAUUGAAAAUGUUACAUUUCGAGUUUCUACUCUAAAAUUUUCACAAUUUAGUGCGAUUAAUUUUGUACUUAAUUUCCCAUUAAGGUAGGUCAUAGGCCAAUUAUGUACCAUGAUUACCUCUUAUUAUAAGAUAGAAGUGGGGAGAUUCCAAACAAUAUUUCAUCAGCCAAAGACGAAUCAUAUUGGCCUAAUAAAAGAAAGCUAGGACGCGAUUUGAAAUAAUGAAAACCGUUGUGGCAUAUAUAUUGAUGUUAAUCAAACCAAUAUAUCACGAGAUAAAGUAUAAUUCUACUUUGUUUGAUGAAUCCAUCGAAAUCCUAUUUAAUUUAAGGAGAGGGGCAGAUUACAUCGGUUUGGUUUGACAAUAAAAAAUAAACUGAAUCAAAUAGUAUUCAGUGGUUCAGUUCGAUUCAAUUUUGAUCAAUACCACUAUUCAAAUCGAACUAAACCAAAUAAAAAAUGGAGAGAUCAUAUCGGUUUGAUUUGGUUUGAUUCGGUUGGUUUAAGCCUAUUCAACACAUAAAUAAAAAAACAUUAUACAUUUUAAGAGUUUUAUUCUUCUAAACAUCACACAUCUUGCGCGUUCCAAUUGGAUUGAAAGAUUAAAUUUUUCGGAACAUAAAAGUUCAUCAAGUCAAAUAGAACCAAGUUUCAAUUAAAUAAAGUCUCAUGCUAGCAAACAAUUUAUUAGCUAUAAACCUCAUAUAAGCAUGAAAUACAUAUAAUCAGCUUAUUGUUAAUAAUCAUUACAACUUUGUAAAAUUAAACUAAUUAAUAAUUCAAAGAGACAUGGUCAGUUCGAUUUGGUUUUGAUCGAUUUUAAAAGUAUCAAAAUAGAACCAAAAAAAAAAAUAAAUUGUUUUGGUUCGAUUUUUAAAUUAUUUGUUUUUACUUGAUCACCAAACAGACCAAAUUAAUUUUGUUUGAACCAGUUGAUUUGGUCGGUUUUAAUGCUCACCCCUAUCCAAAAUGCAUGGCUACCAACACUAGAUAAAUUGUAAAUGAGAAAUGCUAAGGAGACUCUCUCAAAAGUAGGACUCUCCAUAGACUUUCUAUCACCUCAUGUUUUUUGCACAAUAUUUUAUAAUGUUGGCACGAAAUUAAUGUUAAACUAUGACGACCCGUCCUUAAUUUUAUGAUUUUAGUAAUUUUAAAAUGUGUGAGAAUUGACGAAAAUGCCCCUAGAGGCGAGGGCGUUGACUUUGUUGACGGUCUUUUUGUGACGCGUUCGAGCUACUAUUUCACCGCAUUCUCGAACUACUCGACGAUACAGACACGUAGGCACAAGCAGAAUCGAAUUCGGAGUUGCAAUGAAAAUUUUACAGAUUUACGAAGUCGAAGAGCAUUUUAAUAAUUUCAUCAUCAUCCUAAAUAUUUGGCUCUCUAUUAUUUUAAUAUUUUCCCUUGAAUUUUUGGUCCAGUGGGACUCCCCACUUCUUUUCCCCCAAAUCUCAUGCUUCCAAAUCACUCGGAACUCUCUCUCUUCCCUAUAUCUUCUUCCUCUCAUCUCUCACCUUUCUCUUCUCUCUGUAUAAAAAAAAAAAAAAAAAAAAAGGUGGAGCCGAGCAGUACAACCACCACCUCACCACCUUUCCAGUGAACUACACCUGAACCACCAUACCAUGUCCCUCUGUCUCUCUCUUGUUAUGCAUCUUUCUCCCUCAAUCUCCAUGUCGUCUCUCUCAUCUCUACAAACAACAGGACAACCGUGAGGUUAAGGUCAUCACCAUCGCCGUCUUCCAUGGCAGAUGACCAUCGAACCAAUGUUCCCAAGAUAUCAUAUCAUCUGAAACCUAGCCUAGGUUUAAUUCCAGACAUCCCAACGGGAAUAGCUCUCGAAUCUUAGAGUUCUAACACUGCGGAGACUAUUCAGCAUGGAUCUCACCACUUUCUAUGAAGGUGAGUGUCGAUUAUGCUUUGUGUGAUCUCCCCCUUGUGGUUUAAAAUGACUUUUAGGCUUAAUGAGUGAAGUUUGGAUUGGUUUCAUGACAUAAAUGGCAAGGGAGGAAGUUUUCCAGAUUUCUGGAAAAUUAGUAACCGUGGUCAUUUGACAACUUUCAGGCCAUUUUUUUGGCCAACACCGACCUUAACUCGGCCUCACCUUGGUAUGGUGUUUCUCUCUACAUUUCUAACUUCAAAAUGGCUCUUGAAUUAUUGAUUUUGGUGGGAGAAUCAAGCUCGAUAUAAGCUCUGGAAGUCGGACAAAAAACCUGCAAAAUGCAGGCCUUCGCAAGGAAGCUGAGUACAAUGGUACUUGCAGGCACGUAGGCAUGCGUGGGCUUUACAUGGGUCAUCGGCGCGUGGAGAAACCCGAGGUCCCUCUUUAGGUUUCUCGACAUGCUGGACCCGAAUCCGCCCUCAUUUUUCCCCACACUUUGUAUGAAAAUGUGUUUAUACGUUAGUACUUUACGUAUUUACAUAUAUGGUUUCGUUUCUAGGCGAAAUGCCUCGAAAGGACUCUCGAUGCUACGAGUCGGGUUCGACUCAACGACAGGAUUUGUGAGUGGGUCUUUUCUUGAUACAUACAUACAUACAUACAUACAUACAUACAUACAUACAUAUAUAUAUAUAUAUGUUUAGUUUCCAUAUAUACAUCUAAUAAUGAAUUUUCUAUAUGAAUGUCAUAGUUAAAUUAAUAUUUAUAGAAAAUGACGUAACGAAGAGAAUUAGGAAAAUCAUUAUGAAUCUUACGGGAUGCCUUAGCUAAAUUUACGGCUAUGAAUAAUAUUAUGUUGACUAGAAUUAUCAAAUCAUUAUGGCAUGGCUACAUUUAUGUUAUUUGCUCAUCGUUUGCUGCACCGGUGUUAGUACUCGCCUGGGCCAGGGCCAAUCUUUCACGUGUAUGUGCACAUCGCACUGUACGCUCACUUUGGAUCCCUUGUAGGUGUCAGUCCUAUCGUACAGGUUGCAAUAGGCAGCUUCGACUUGUAUGUGUUGCGCAUAGCGCCAGUCUUCGCAUGAUUGUAGUACUAUAGUGUAUAUCAUUGUUACACCCAGUCCUAUUCAUGUCAGAAUACCUCUGCAUGAACUCAUGUGUCAGCAUGUGUCAAUGAGNCCACUAAACCGUAGUACUAAGUGGCAUCUAAUGGUUGCACAUAAACCUAAAAAGUUGGCUUGACCCAAGCUAAACCCACAUUUGGUUUGUAUUUGGCUGACCCAAAUUUUUGGGGGCCCUACUUUUUUUGUUUUUGAAAAGCAAUGGGCAAAUUAUAUUAUAUACUAAAAGAGAAAAACGCCUGAAUCACUAUUCAUAGUACAGUGGAUUUUCGAUUUUGUCCUCGCUUAUUUGUCUAUUAUUAUAGCCUUGCCCCUAUUGCUUUGCUGUCAAAUGCUUAACAGUUUCGCGACGCGUGGAAAUUCCGGAGCCUUCUUUGUUAUUUUUCCCUCACCAUUUGGCUGUUUCCUCGCCCACCGCAUAAUUCUUCUACUGCUGCCAAUCCAUAAACCACAACGCGAAUCCGACCGCCUCUUCUUUCCCCUUCACUUUCACGGUUCCACCCCAACAUCAUCGGUAAGCUUUGAAACGUUUUUAUGGGUGUGAGUUUCUGAAUGCAUGUCUAAACUUUGAUUGGAAUUUGGUUGUUUCCUUAAUUCCCAUCAACCCUUCUCACAACUUCAUCUAAAAUGCUCUGCAUGUAAGAUCUGUGUUCGUGUAGGUCAUUUCAAAGGGAUUUCAAGCUGGGUUGCAAAGAUUUGAUUCAAGUUUGUGGAUUUGGGUAAGAAAUUAAGAACCCCUAAUCUUUUCUUAAGGUUUUAAAUGCCACAUGCAUCACAAUAAUCCAUUCAAAAUCACAAUUUUCCUCCGUGCUUCCUCCGUUAUUUCUUCACCAUCAACCUUGCGGCAACUUCCUUGCCGAUUCGAGCUGCUCGACCAUGACAUGAACGCCGCCUCCACACGUUUGACUCGCUGUACGUCCUUGGCUUGCCGCUCUCCUUAUCUCCCGGUGAUUCAUUCUCCUCAUUGGAUUCUAUUUGGGUGAGUUCUUGGUUGAUACUCGCCCCCAUGAUUUUUCAAUUUGGUUUUUUUGGGUGUCUUUAGUCGUCGUGUUGAUAAAAAUUUUCUGCGUUUUUUUGCUUUUCGUUUGUGGUUUUUUUUUAAAUUUUUUUGGGGGUUUGAUGAAUGAAUUUGUGUGGGAGUUUUUGAAGUUUUAUUAAUUAUGUUGUAUUUGGGCCCCUGGGUAAGCUUAGAAACCUUUGUAGAUGUCGCAUGCAUGUAGAUUUUUCUUCAAACAUAUGAAGAAUUGUUAGUCUGCUGUACAAUUUCCUCUGCCACCCUUGGAAAAUCAACAUGCACAGACAUUUUAGAAUUCUUCAUUUAAAUUUGCAGGGUUCAGGACAGUUUUUCUUUUAAAGUUAUGGGUUCUUUUGAUAUGAUUUUUUUUUAUUUGAAUUAUUCAUUUAAUUUUUGAGAUCUUUUAGCAAAUCUCCAAAUUGACUCAUAAUGAUUAGGCUUGAAACAGAUGCUAUAAAUCAGUUUUGGUGGAGGAGUUGUUCCGCAGCCUCAGGAAAAAUAGAGGAAUGUUUUUGAAAUAAGGUCUGAUCGAAACUUUUGUAUAAAAUUUCACAAUUUUUGAGUUUUAAGCCAUUCAAAUUCACAUUUGCCUACAUUAAUAUAUUAAGUAGGUUACUUAUUGAUUUUUUUUUGGGAUUUUCUGUUUUUCAUGGUUUCCUAAUCCUUUGUCCGACUUGAAUGUGUAGCUAAGCAUACCAGCAAAUCAAAAGGUUUUUUGAGACGGAGGGGUGCUCUGGCUAUUCCAAUAGUUUCGGUACUGCUAGCAUGUGGUAUUAAUCAUUGUGUUGCCUUUGCCAUGCUAAGCGGAUAAAAAAAGAGUAAAACAAAAGGUAUGAGAAGUAGUCAUCCCCUCUGAAUUGUUUAACGGUUUGAUCUAAAUAAAAGCAAUGCAAUUUCAUCUUAAUGAAUGUCUACAAUUGGUUCAUGUGAUAGCACAGACUAUACGGAGAGAGAUGAACUUGAAGAAGCGAGGAGACACCCCGAGUUGCAAUAUUUCGGUCUGAGCACCAUAAUAGCAGCCACAGAUAACUUCUCACCCAUUAACAAACUCGGCCAAGGGGGUUUUGGCAUUGUUUAUUAGGUGAAUCCCAAUUCAGAAGUCUUACACAUUUUACAAUUGAAUGAUUUCUUCUAAGCAUUAUACAGUAAUUUUGUUCUGUUUCUUAUGUCUACUGUUUUUUUUUUUUUUUUUUUUUUUUUUUUUUUUUUUUUUUUUAUAAAGCAUGAAAGCCUAAUAGUAAUACUGAUUCAUUACUUCAGGGCCACUUGCCAAAUGGUCAGAUUAUUGCUGUAAAAUAUGUAGAUUGCACUUGAACAAGGUUUGUUUCUCGAAUCACAUUCAUUAGUUAGAUUAUUAAUGUGCUUCGAGAGGGGUUUUCAAUAUGAUUUUGUAAUUUCCCUUGAGAACUGUUUACACGUUUCCAUAUGGGUUUUUUGAACUACAGAAAAUUUUGUCAUUCCUAAGAUUUAAUUGUUGUUAUUGUAUAGUUUAAUUAUUUUCCCCUAAUAUGAUUGAAUGGUAAUUAGUUGUAUAAAUUUGGCUUUGACCGUUCUUUCUCCUCCUUGGGUUCUAUUUCCGUCUCUGACCCCAUUGAACUUCAGUUGAGCUCAAGUAAGCAGUCCUAGCGGCCAGCCUUCUUUUAGGUCACUCAAGGAUAAUUGGGAUCAAAUAUUCGCAUUUUCAUUGUUUGAAGUAGGAAGCACCACUUUUUCCUCUAAUUUUGUUUCUUCUGAAAUUUAAUGGUUCUGAUUUGAAUCAUCUUGCAGAAGAUUGAGAAACAGAAGGUUGGAGGACUAGAUGAUCAAGCAUUGACUUAUUUUUAAAGAAAAGGUAAACCACGAAAAUCCCAAAGUGAUAUCCCACGACCUACAACUAUUUUUGUAUUUGAUUAAUUUAAUUCUUAAUAUUUUUCCGCGUUGAUUUAUGUUGAACUAUGUCUGAAAGGUGGCCUUUGUUCAGAUUGAAAUACAAAAUUAAAUCACAUUUGAUCAGUUAAAUCACAUCUAUAUUAAUGUGCAAAUUUGCAGGAUAUUGACUAUAAUAUUCACUUAGUCAGUUCUCUGUAUUAUCCUUUCUUCAACAGGGGUUGAGAACAAUAUUUAAUAUGUAGGUUGAAUUGAUUGAAUAUUUGGUUUUGUUGGUUGAAAAGUUUAAUAUCGUUUAUUUGUAUGCUCUGAUCUUUGGUUGACGCUGUUAUGUGGAAAAGACCCCUUAUAAAAGAUUAGAGAUGUAACUGGUACUUUGUCUAUAUUCCUGUAAUUUGAUUGUAUAUUGUUUUAUUUACUUUUGUAGGUUAGAGUUUUUAAUUUUUAUGGGUUUAUUGAAUGCGUAAUUCUCUAAGCAUUCGAAAAGGUAAGAUUUGGGAGAGUGAGAAUUUGUAAUUACCUUGAGAGGAAUUCUUUUUAUUGCAUCUACAAAAUAUUUAACAUCAUCUACUAACAACGCUUUGGCUUUCCAGUAAACAAAUAACAGAAGGACCUCCAUACAUUCAUGAGCAUCACUUUUAUUUAGUGGAUUACAAUGAAUUGUUAUCUCACGUAGAUAAAGUUGAAAUUCUCAUAGGUAAUUAAACACAUUUAUAAAUCUACAUCUAUAUGCCAUUUUUGUUUGCCAACAUUUUUUCAUCCUAUAAUCUUAUAAUAUUGGAUUGCCAAAUUGCAAGAUAUUGUGGGACGCAUCACAUCAGUGCAACCAGACAGUUUUGAAUCCCGCAGCAUUGCGCGGGCUUCACUGCUUGUGAUUUACUAAAGUGGCCGACAGAUGGACCCCUCAGCUGGCAGGGUACCAGUUGCAAAACGGUAACAUUUUAAGGGACUACGAGCCGUUUUAUUUUUGGGCCAUUGGUUUUUGGGCCAUUGGUGAUCAACGGUCUAGGUUAAAAUCUUUUUUUGUUUUGCAAUCUUUAGAUUUUGAUCUGAUUGUUCAUAUUUUUUUUUUCAAAUCUAAUUGUAAAAAAAAUCCAACUGCUGAAAUUUAAAUUAAAUGUCAAAAUAAUAAAAUAAUUUUUUAGAACAUAUCCACUUUACAUUUGGAUGGUGUGUGUAUUGAAGUUUGGUUGGUUGGUGUGAUUUGUUCGGUUUUGAAAAUUUUGUCGAAAUUUAAUCAUUUAAUGUCAAAAUACUCGUCAAAUUAAAUUAAAAUAAUAUAAUUCAAAAGUACAAAAAAAAUUAAAAAAAAUCCCACCAAAAAAAUUAGGGUUAAAACUAUAUUCCACAACAAUUAGCAUUUUAGGUCCUGAAAUUUAGGUCUUGGUAUUUGGGUGAUAUUCACUGUUCAUAGACUUAAAUUCCGUCUUUUUAAUGGUCUUUUAAAGGGGUGUGUAGUCAAAUUAGGAUUUGAUAGCAUUUUGAUGGAUUUUAAAAUCUAAGUGCAUUCAAUUAGGAUUUUAAAAGAUUUUGAAAUCAUAGUGUAGUCAAAUUAGGAUUUUAUAGGAUUUUAAAGAAUACAUCAAAAUCCAAGGAUAGUCGAUUAGGAUUUUAAAUGAGUCUGCAGAUGUCUAGGUGUAGUGAAAUUACCAAGGAUUUGCUAGGAUUUUGAUGAGUGAUGGAUUUUAAUGGAUUUGAGGGUUUGUGGUAUAAAUACCAAAUGUUAUCCAACCCUUACCCCUCAAAUUUCUUUUCACACCAGAGGAACAGUCUUCUCCAUUUGAGAGGACCUACUGUGAACUCAGCCGACUUGGACUUCUAUGGCUGGUCGUGAAAUCUUUGCAAGCAUGAGAAGAUGUCCCAGCACCACCAACUUAUUUUUUUCUUUCUUCACCGACUACCCAAACAUCUCACGUAAAUUCCCUUGCUGACUCUUCCUUUCCCUUCAACUACUUCCUAUCUCUGUUGUACUUUUAUUUACAGAAUACACCUUGUUCAAUUUUGCUUUGGUGCCUUUGAAAUGUCACCAUUUAUUAUUAAAACCAAUCAACGUCACUCUCGAAACACGUAUUAUUUGGCUUGGGUUGGAUCAAUUCAUCCAACCUGUAUACAUUCUAAACAUUAUUAAUUUGUGCUAUUACUACGGUAUGAAAAUAUGCAAUUAACUAGUCCUUGGAUUGAGGAUCGUGAUUUCAGACAGUGUAGUAGAAUACACAUAACAAUUAGGGUUUCAAUUGCAGAGAGUUGGAGAGGUUAAUCUCAGCCACAGAGUUUCAUUAAAAAUGAUCUGACGGCAUUGUAUGUGAUUUCUAAAUUUUUUUAAAAUCCUAGGAAAUCCAAGAAAGAAUCCAUACAAAUCCAUACAAAUCUAUAAGAGAAAUCCACAUAAAUCUGUCAAAAUCCAUAUGGAAUUGUAGAGUCCAUUAAAAUCCUUUAAAAUUUGUCACCUAAACAAAAUCCAUUAAAAUCCUCUAAAAUUCAAAUUGAUUACACCCCCUAAAUAUUUUGGUUUGGGUGUAAGGGUUGGAGUUGGUCUAAGGACUUUAAUGGAAUCUUUGAAUUCCUAUAAGUGUAUUGCCUCAUAGCGAACCGGGAUCCUCGCAGGAUCCAUUCCCUAGGGAUCCCGCAAUUCUAUCCGUUCAUCGUAUAUCAUGCGGUCAGUUUUCGUUAGGUACUAUUUACAUUCGAAUUUUAAAUUUUAAAUUUUAAAUGAUUUCUAACCGCACGAUAUACGAUAAACGAACAAGAUUGCAAGAUCACUAGGGAAUGGAUUCGACGAGGAUCUUGGUUCUACAAUAGCUUCACUAUUGGCUAUAGCUUAUGUCAUGGUUUAUAUUAUAGCUCAUGUCAUGGUUUAUUAUUUCUAAUCAAAGUUAGACUUCGACUCUUUGCAACCCUUGGUCAACUAAAUGAGUUAUUAAUUAAAAGUCGUUUGAUAAUUAUUUUGUUUUUAAUUUUUAAUUUUUAGUUUUUACUUUUCUGUUUUGAAAUUAGCCAAAAUGGUCUCUGAAAUUAGCAUAACUUCUCACUUUGAUUCCUGAAAUUUAAAAUUGCCAGAAGUGAUUCAUGAGUUUGUUAAUUAUCAAUCAUUUUGAUCAUUAUGUUAAAAAUAUCCAUUAAAUAAGGAGCAAAUAACAAAAUAACCUCAAUUUAAUAAAAAAUGGGCCAUAAUAAUUUGAUAAAAAUUGAGUGUAAUUUUGUUUUUUCAUGAAAUGAUUAAAAUAAGGGAACUUUAAUGAAAAGUUUAUAGUACUGUUCACUUUAACGAAAAAUCAUAUUUUUACAAUAAAAAGUUAAUCCUGGUACUAUUCAUUUUACCCAUUAUUUUGUCAUUAUCAUUAAAACUCAAAGUUUUCAAACCAUUUUUAUUAAUUUUUCUUUAAAACAAUUUAUAGUGGAUUAAACCAGAAAUCUCAUUUUGAGUGAGGAGUUGCAUAGCAAUUUCAGGAAUCAGCUGAAAAGUAAAAAAUAAAUAUAAACAAAAGAAGAAACGAAACUUCCGACCUGGUGGGUUGCGACUUUGGUUUGGUAUUGCUGUGCUUUGAAAAAAAACUGUUUCUGCUGUGCUGUGAGAAUAAGCAGCUGUGAAAUAAAACAGCAGAGUGUUUGGUAAAUUUUUUUGUAAAAAUGCUUUUGAAAAAAAAAACAGUAUUAUAGUGUUUAGUAAACUUUUAUGUAAAACAGAUGUGAAAAAAAAAAAACCGAUUUUUCAAAGUUGGGUUUUGCAGCUUCCUGUUUUUGGUUUUUUUCACACAAAACUGUAAAAAAAAAAUGUGAAAUUGAAUGUUUACCAAAUACAAUAAAGCUGCCAGCUUUUUUUUAUACCAUUUUUUUUCAGAAUUACCACCGUACCAAAUCAGGGCUUAAACUGACUGAGAGGUCCUCUAUCCGCAGCUCCUUCGUCUUCCUCCCAAGCCUUUUACCUUUUCUUUCUUUCUUCUCCAAAACUAGCAAUCUGAGAUUUCAACCUCUCUCUCCAAGGAGCAGCGGCAUGCUUUUCCAAACGUAAUCUGCAAUUUAAUCAAACAGCCACCAAAUUUUCUGGAAUCCGGUCAAUGCAGAGAUUCUUCGGAUUUUGAUCGGUCAACGCCAGCUGCUUACCUGAGCUCUAACAGACACAACAGUGAUAACGUCCUCCACCUCUGUCUCUGUUUGGCUGAUUCUGCUGUUUCGCUUCUUUCACCUCCACAAGCUUGCUGCCAAUGUCGAAGGUAUGUCUCUGUGUGUUAUUGAAAUUGGGAGUGUUUGGUUGUGGGAACUGGAAUGAACUAAUGAAUGAAUGACUGGAAACAUUCCCGAAGAGCUUGGGGGUUUGUCAGACUUGGUGAGCUUGGAUCUUUACUUGGCAACCUUGCAAAACUGCGUUUCCUGUAUGAACCCCCAUCCUUCUGUUAGAUAAAAUCUAUCGUCUUUCUUUUUUAUUCGAUAUGCUAAUUUGCUUUUAUUAAUUGUUCCAUUGGAGUGACUUUCUUCCUUAAAGUCCUUGUGCCGGAUGCAUAUAAUUUAUAGUAUGAUCCCUGGUUUCAAGAUUCACAAGAAGGGAACAUCCAAUCAUUGCAAGUCCUGUGAGUUUCAUACACUUUCAUCUCAGUGUAAGAGGGAGGAGAGAGAGAGACAGAAGUUACUAAUUUCUCCGCCAUCAGGUAUUGUUUGGUAUGUAGACGAGAACGGAACGGGACAGGAUGGGACGGAAUGGAGAGAGAGAGCAAAGAUGCUCUCGGAUGGAAACAAGGAGGAAGAAGAAUGAGACGGAGAAAUUAUAAUUUUGUGUUCCACGGAUUUGGAACGAGUCAUUCCAGGGAAAAAGGGGAAACAAAAAUUCAUCUAAAAUUCGUUCCGUGAAACAAUACGUUUCACCCGUUUUAGGUGAACCAAACAUGAGACGGAACGUCUCAUUUCACUCUGUUCCGUCACGUUUCACGUACCAAUCGGUACCCCAGAGAAUGCAAAUAACAUAUAGUUUUGCCAUGGAAUGCAGGGAUCUUUCAAAUAACAAUCUGACAGGGGAUAUUUGUGGUGCCCUUUUCGUGCCCUCCUGUUUUUGUGGUUACGGUUAAGCCACGUCAACAUUUUAUAUUACUAUUUCUUUUUGUUUUAUUAUUUUUAUAAAAAAAUAAUAUAAAAUAUUAACGUAGCUUAACCGUGACCACACAAAACAGGAGGGCACUAUUUGUGGUGCCCUUCCCGUGCCCUCCUGUUUUUGUGGUUACGGUUAAGCCACGUCAACAUUUUAUAUUACUAUUUCUUUUUGUUUUAUUAUUUUUAUAAAAAAAUAAUAUAAAAUAUUAACGUAGCUUAACCGUGACUACACAAAACAGUAUGACACGGAAAAGGUACCGAAAUAGGAGGGCAGACAAUCCAAGUCCUCCGGUCAAUGGAUCUUUUUAACUUUUUACUCCCAUGAGGUUUGUUGAAGCAACUUUACUCUUUUUCUUUACCUUUUUCCUGCGGUGACUGUCCCAGCGGACGAUCUAAAUGAUGUACUGAUUGCUAUUCUUCAUUUUGCAGUUUUGCCAAUAAUCCUCGUCUGAAUCCACUUCCAGCCUCACCACAUCCAGGUUUUUACAACUUGUACUGUUCUAAUGUUCUUGUGAUAUUAGCGCAAAAUUAUUUUGAGAAUUGGCUCUGUUUUGUUUCACAGACACUUGUGAUAUCGAUCCAGUCCAGUAAUGGUUAAUGUUUUAUUUUUGGUGUUUUUCUGUUAAAACUUUUCAUAAUGGUUAAUGUUUUAUUUUUGGUGUUUUUCUGUUAAAACUUUUCAUAAUAUACCAUUACUGUUGGAAUCACUGCUGUAAAGAAUCUAAGAAGAUGCUAGUUAGGAAAGGAAUGGAUUGAGGAUCCGAGAGGAUACUCCUAAUUAUGUGUUGUACUAUUUCUGUGAGUUUGAAGAAAUGAAUAAAAGAAUAAUGUUAGCGAGACCAAAAAUUUUAAACGGUUGUUGAUGAUUGAAUUAUUAAUUAAGUGUCGAUUAUUGUGUUUAUUUCUUAUUGGUGACACAUUAUUUGGUUUGGCGAUUCAGUGGUGAUUAUAAUCAUCUACAAUAAUUAAUACGCACUGAUAAUUUUUGGGAACAGAGGAGUGAAAAAACUGGAAUUUUGGGAAGCUCGGUGCUUCUGGUUUUCAUCGAGCAGAGGGAAGACGAAGAGGGAGAGAGAGAGAGAAAAUACUAAGUUUAAGGAAAUGGUUGAGAGACCAAAGUUUUAAAUCAAAUUUACGAACCAAAUGAUGUAUCAUCAUUAAGAAACAAGCAUGUAUACUUAAUUAAUAAUUCAAUCAUCUACAACCACAUCAUUUGGUUUAAUAUUUUUGAUCUCCCUAGCAUUAUCAGUAGUUUAAUUGUAAUUUUUUUUUUAUGGAGGCACCGAUCAACAGUGUUGAUUUUUUAGAGAAGAUGUAAAGAGUCGGAGGCCCAUAGAAUUUCCCAAGUUCAAAUAUUUAUAUUUUUUUGUCAAACGAUAGAUUUUAUUAGAUUAUAUGUUAGGUUAGUCAUCGACGGAGUUUGAACCUACGCCGUCAUGCAAUGACGCAACACAUUUCCACCACUGUGGUAAAUGGUCACUUGUAUUUGAGAAUAUUUAUAUUAUUCUAAUUUGAAAGUUAAGUGAAUUAAUUAUUUUUUAUUUGUAAACAAAUAUUUGCUUGCAAGUAAUCAAUUCUAUUAAACAAAAAUAAUUGCUUACAAUACAAUAAACAAUAACUAUAAAUAUUAUUGUAAAAUGUAUAUUAUAAAUAUUUUUAAUGUAUAUUUUUUUACGAAUUGAACUGAAUAUGAUAAUGUCUGUGUAUUCUCUAACAUAAUGUUACUAUAGGUUACUAUCGAAUUCCGUAUCCUAACCGAAUUGCGAACUCGAAUCGUAACAUGUAUCUGGAAACUAUGGGUGGCACUGGUACUGGGGCUAUUUUUGGAGGGGUUGCCGUUGGUGUUGCUUUGCUGUUUGGUGCACUUGCAAUUGCAUUUGCUUAUUGUCGACGAAGAAAACCACAGGAUCAUUUCUUUAAUGAACCUGGUUAGUGAACUAUUAAGAUUAAUAUAGCUUGAUCAAGUUGGUGUUGUAGUUGUUGCAUGGGAUGCAGGUUUCACUCAUCUACUGUCUUUGCAGCUGAGGAGGAUCCAGAAGUUCAUUUACGACAGCUCAAAAGGUUUUCUUUACGCGAGCUACAAGUUGCGACGGAUACCUUUAGCGACAAAAAUAUUCUUGGUAGAGGUGGAUUUGGUAAGGUUUAUAAAGGAUGCUUAGCUGAUGGAACUCUGGUUGCUGUAAAAAGACUAAAAGAGAAGAGAACCCAAGGCGGGGAGCUACAGUUCCAAACGGAAGUUAAAAUGAUUAGCAUGGCUGUCCACCGCAAUCUGCUUCGUCUGCAUGGUUUUUGCAUGACACCAACAGAAAGGCUGCUUGUAUAUCCUUAUAUGGCUAAUGGAAGUGUGGCAUCACGUUUAAUAGGUACUCAUCUAGAUUGUAUGCUGCGUUGAUGAAUCUUUUUGUUUUCACGAUAUUAAAAAUUAUUUGGAUUACAUUGAUAAUUUGAAUUUAAAAACCCGACCAAUUUGGUUUGGAGUAUCAACACUGAUUUUCUAUAAUGUAUUUUUUUUCCCUUCCAUUUUAAGUUACCUUCUUGCUGAUUUUCUUUCUAUUUAAUUUGAAAAGAAUGACGAGAUGACCUUUUUUGGGUAAGACUGGUGGCAUGAUAUGUGUUAGACCAUAUUACCUGUUGUUUGUGAUUUGAAACUCUACUCUCAAAAGUUUGUGGAUAUAUUAAUAAUUAUUAUUGUAGAUCGUCCAGAAGGACAACCUGCACUUAAUUGGCCAGUAAGACAACGCAUUGCAUUGGGAUCUGCAAGAGGCCUUGCUUAUUUACAUGACCACUGUGAUCCAAAAAUUAUUCACCGUGAUGUGAAAGCUGCAAACAUAUUGUUGGAUGAGGAAUUCGAAGCAGUUGUUGGAGACUUUGGGUUGGCUAAACUCAUGAACUACAAGGAUACACAUAUUACCACAGCUGUACGUGGCACAAUUGGUCAUAUAGCACCAGAGUACUUUUCAAAUGGAAGGUUUUCCGAGAAAACUGAUGUUUUUGGAUACGGAGUCAUGCUUCUUGAACUCAUCACUGGUCAGAGGGCUUUUGAUCCUCAGCCUGAGAGUGAUGAUGACGUCACGUUACUUGAUUGGGUAUGCAUUUACGUCUUUCUGUUUGUGAAAAUUUUUUUCAAUAUGAUCACGGGAUGAUACAUCACGUAUCAUUAUACAAAUUAUGGAAUAUGUGUGUUAAAAAAUUAAUAAUUUAAAAAAAUAAAAUUUCUUAUCACUUAUAUAAAAAUACGUAAUGUAUCACUCAUGUUCUGAUCACAAGGAAAAAAUUCUACUGUUUGUGUAUGUAGCUAAUUUAAUAUUAUAUGCAAGGUUAUUUCCCAACAACAUUUGAUAUCUUUCAUAUUUUAUAUCUAAAGAGACGUAAUGUUGUUGAAAUUCAACGAUAUUCUAGCUUCAAUCUAUUUUGUGUCCCUAAGUCCAAUUCUUGGAAAUUAUCAAAGUUUCAAUACUCAGAUUGUUAAAGAAAUGUUAUAUAAUAUACCGUAAUUUAGGCGUUUCUCGUGUUACCAAUGUCGCUACUUAUUUUAGACGAAAAUAAUGGGUCUCCACACUUAACGAUUUUAUUUCAAACUGUUAAUUUCUUAUGACAUUCUUAAUCAUUCCCUAUGGAACACUUCUGCAUGCAUUUUAGUUAGUUCUUUGGAAAUAUGAUUUAAAAACCUAUUAUUAUUUAUACAACUGCCAAAUUCCUGUUUGAUUAAUGUAAAAAUCACUUGUCUUUUUGGCCGAAAUGUUGAAAACAGUCAGAGGUUAAUUAUUACAUUUCCUUGGUAAUUGUUACUAUUGUUGUUGCUUCUUUUACCAAUAUAUUGGCGUUACUGUGAUUUCUUGAAAAAUUUGGCAUAUGUUUUUUGUUGAUCCUAAUUUCCUCAUCAUCACUUUAUUCUCCUAUCUUGGCCUCUCGCUUCUUUCUAUCCUCUCUAUUUGCAUAUUUUUCUUAUCUUUGCAUUAUAUCAAUAUUUGAAUGACGAUACAUUUUUGUAUGCAGUUUGAUUUUCUAGAGAAAAUUGCGGCCCUUCAAAUUGUGAACAUUACAACACAUUUUUACUCUCCUUGGUGCCCUCACCUUUUGUUUCAAAUUGUAGAACUAUCUGACGUUUUCCUUUUUAUUUUAACUAAAACAAUUAGGUCAAAGGACUAAUGAAAGAUCAGAGGGUGGAAAUACUUGUUGAUGCUGAUCUAAAUGGAAAUUAUAUUGACGAUCAAGUGGAGCAGCUGACCCAAGUAGCUCUACUAUGCACACAAGACUCCCCAGGGGAACGGCCCAAGAUGUCAGAGGUUGUCCAGAUGCUGGAAGGCGAUGGUUUGGCUGAAAGAUGGGAAGAGUGGCAGAACGAGAUGUUCCGCCAAGAUUUCAACCCUAUUCAUCACCAAAGUACUAAUUGGAUCAUAGUAGACUCAACUUCUCAUAUUCCUCCGGAUGAGUUGUCCGGUCCCAGAUGAUAUGCACGUUGGUUCCGUCCCCUGUAUACAUGUAAGAAGCCUUCAGAGGACUGGAGAAGGUCCAUUUUGUAUUUCAGUGAUACCACAUUUGCAUAUGUUGUCUUUGUUUUCGAUUUUGUUUUUGUCUCAUGUAUUUUUUAGAUGACAAAAUUGGAGUUGGUGCUGUUGUAAUUUUUAUAGAGUUAACUGGCAUUACGAAGUUAUAUGGUGCUAGCAGGAAUUAGGAAGGGCCAUAAAAGUACCCGUUCCUGAUGAUUUAUGUAUCUAUCCAGAAAUUAGUCCAGAUUGCCGAGUAAAUAAUCAUUCUGAACUUAUAACUAUCUAUAUUUUUUAGUGUUCCUAUAGAUCCUAUAGAUAGGAUAAGGACACUAGGCCAAGUGCAUGGGUGUUUGUGGACGGAUAGUGUUUGAAAUUUCAUCGUGAUCAUUGUAAGUGCGACUUUAUGGCACUACCCUUAUAAGUACUUGAACUAAGGCAUUAGAGGAUUAAGAGAUCACUUUGUGUCAUUCCAACACCAGAAUUCGAGCUCUGUCUAUCCUAUUUAGGGUAUCAACAAUGGGGAUCCCUCUACUAUCUUUGAGGAUUUAUUUAAAACCAACUGUAGGGUAAAGACUCAAACCUAAAUAUUUGAGUUUCAACCUAAAGGUGGGACUUUUUUGUUGUUUUUUUUUUAAUAAAUAAUAUUAUCUGCAUUAAAGGGGUGUGGGAUUUGAUUAUGCCUCAAAAUGGAGGAGCAAUAAUAUGGUUCAAAUUUACCUUUGGUUAGAAUCGAUAUGGUUCAAAUUUGCCUUUGACGAGAAUCGAACCUAAGACCUCUCACUCAUAAGUGAAGAGGAAUACAACUAGACCGUAGUAUUAAGUUGUAUCUAAUGGUGGGACUUAAACCUAAAAGGUUUGGCUUUGACCCAAGCUAAACCCAAAUUUGGGUUGUAUUUGGCUGACUUAAUUUUUAGGGUCCCUAGAUUUUUUUAUAAAACAACGGGUGAAUGAUUUAUUGAUGUGGGCAACAGAUAAGCCUCAACUGGCAAGGCCCCAGUCGCAAAACGGUAACAUUUUAAGGGACUAUGAGCCGUUUGAUUUUUGGGCCAUUGGUGAUCAACAGUCUAGGUUAAAAUACUUUUUUUUUUCUUUUUUUUCCUUUUUGCAAUCUUUAGAUUUUGUUCUAAUUGUUCAUAUUUAUUUAAUUUUUUUUCAAAUCUAAUUGUAAAAAAGAUCCAACUGCGGAAAUUUAAAUUCAACGUCAAAAUGAUAAAAUAAUUUUUUAGAACAUACAUACUUUGAUGGUGCAUGUUUUAAAGUUUGGUUGGUUGUUUGUAUAUUGAAGUUUGGUUAGUGUGCAUUGAAGUUUGGUUAGUUAGUGUGAUAUGUUCAGUUUUGAAAAUAUUGUCGAAAUUUAAUUUUUUUUAAUGUUAAAACACUCUUCAAAUUAAAUUAAAAUAAUAUAAUUCAAAGUUAAAAAAAAGGGUUAAAACUAUAUUCCACAACAAUUAGUACAUUUUACUUUUAGAUCCUGAAAUUUAGCUCUUGAUAGUUGGGUGAUAUUCACUGUUUAUACACUUAAAUUCCGUCUUUUAAUGGACUAAAUAUUUGGUUUGGGUGCAAGGGUUGGAGUUGGUCUAAGGACUUUAAUGGAAUCUUUGUAUUCCUAAAGGAGUAUUGCGUCAUAUGGGAAAGUUCCUAAGGUGCGCUUGUUGCACCAAACUAUCUCGGACUGGACUAGCUUCAGAGAUUAAGCUUGACUGGCUUAGAAUAGAACUAAGUUGGACUGACUUAGUGAAGCGUUUGAUACAGUGUCGGACUAAGAAGUAGGAUAAUAAAAAUUAGUGAAAUUGCAAAUUAACAAUUGAAGCAUCAAACUCAACUGCACAAUACCCACAAUUAAAUCAAAUGAUAAAAUUACACUAAACUUAACUGCAAUUGCUUGGAAAUGAAAGAAAAUAUUGAGUUUUUUGUGCAUUGUAUCAUUGCAAUUUGCAUAACCAAACAUCUCUUUCAACCAUAAGCCACCAUGGAAACACAUAAAAUUACAAAAUUAUCCUCAUUCUCUAGUUUUUUUUUUCCGUAACCAAUCAGUCACUACAGCAACAAAUACCCAUCUAGAAUUUUUUUCAUAAUUCACCAAAACAGAGUAUAAAGAACAAAACCUAGAUUCUGCAAUGUUGAGAAAUAAUGACUUGGGGAAGAAAAUGGAAGGCUUUUUUUGGGGAAAUUGGAAAAAACCCAGGUGAAAAUUCAUAGUUGAGAAACAGAAAAGAUUAUUAUCUCAUACUUUUUAUGGGUUUCUUCGCCUUAUACUCCACACAGCGAGCUCCAUGAAUGCCUCUAGCUUUUUUUCCUUUUUUCUGUUAACCUUUUGUCUCGGUUUCCAUAGUUGAAAUGGAGAAUUUAAAUUGAAAUCAGUGACCUAACUGUUUAAAUUUAAUCAGGAACUUAAAUGUCCCAAAAUUGUUAAAAAUUCAAACCUUAUCACCCUACAAAUUUGGAGGCAGCAUGUUUCGAUUCCUUCUUCAUAGCCUUACCAAUUUCUGAAAUUGGGGCUUCGCCAUAGAUGGCUUUGAGCAUGGAAAGCUGAACUAAGGGAAAUCACAAAAUACCUAGAAGGGAAAAUCAAAGCCAUACAACAUCAUAAAAUACCUAGAAGGAGAACUCAUUGAAGAACAAGAAAAUUUCACAGCAUAAAACGCACCUAGAUUUCAUAACAACCCAGAAGGGGAAAUUGUAGGGGAAAUCGAAAGGGAGAUCGAAGGGGAAACGUGCAAUUAAGAUGAGCAGAAGGGGAAAUUGAAGUAGUUAAGCAAGACGUGGUGAGCGAGCAGGACAAGGAUACGAGCAUGAAGAAGUGAGCGAGCACGAAGAGGACGACGGUCUUAGCUAGUUCUCUCGUAUUUAAGGGGCCUCACUAAGACCUUCUAACAAAGGAAUUAGUUGACUUGAGUCCCACUUAAUACCAUUAAACUUAGUCCUUGCUGCAGACAAACAUGGGGUUGCAUUUGAUUUUUGGGGCUGGAUGUAAUCUCAUUUUUCUCCAUUGGACAUCCCUUGUCUUUUGCGGGGGUGAUUUCAAUGGAUUCAUUUGGGCCCAUGAGAAGUCUGGAGGGGUGGAGGUUCACUAUAAUCGACUAGAAUUUUGGCAAACUUUAUGGAUGUUACGGAGUUGCUUAAUUUAGAGUUUAAGGGCCUGACUUUCACAUGGAGGGGCAUUCGACAUAGGGUGUUGAUGGAAGAAAGAUUACAUAGGGGCUUAAUAAUGGGCAUUGGCAGGAUGUUUGGUCCAAUUCGUUUGUGCUACAUGGUACGGUUUUGGGGUCUGAUCAUUAUCCGCUUAUUAUAAAAACUGAUCUGGAUGGGCCUAAAGUUAGGAAGUUGUUUCGAUUUGAGGCUUUUUUGGCUAAGGAAGCGAAGUGUUGGUGAAGGAUUGUUGGGCUCGACGGCAGGUUGAUGUUGUGCAGUUGCAAUGGGUUAAGAAGAUUAACGAUUGUCGUUCUCAUCUUCUGCGGUGGAGCCGUAAUAGGUUUAAGAAACGGGGGCAACAAAUUGAUGAGCUCUUUCAUUAGUUAAGGGAACUUCAGAUGAAUUGGGGAUUAAAUUUGGCUGAAAUUAAGGAAAAAUCUCGACUUCUUGAUGAUUUAUGGUCUCAGGAGGAAAGCUACUGGCAUCAGCGCUCUCGAGUUAAAUGGUUGCAUAAGGGGGAUGCGAAUACUAAGUUCUUCCAUCAGUCAACAUUACAAUGCUGUAAGCGGAAUAGGGUUCUCAAAAUUAAAGAUGUGGAUGGGUAGUGGGUUGAACAACCCGACAGUGUUCGUGACUUAGUGGAGGACCACUUUGUUACCACCUUUAGGUCUGGGGGGCCUAGGAAUUGGGGAUCAAUUCUGGAAUGUAUCAAUCCAGGUGUAACUGUGGACAUGAAUCAAGCUUUGCUCAAGUUGGUGUCUGACGAGGAAAUAAUGGAUGUGGCACUAAAGAUGGGGGGUCUUAAAGCUUUUAGUCCAUAUGGUUUUCAAGGGAUCUUUUAUCAGUCAUUCUGGGAGCAUCUUAGGGAGGAUGUUAAUAAGCUGGUCAGGACAUUGAUGAAUGGUAUGGCUAGCCCAGGUACUCUUAAUAAAACCCAUAUUGUUCUAGUCCCUAAGGUUCAUCACCCAGAAUCGGUUUCACAAUUUAGGCCUAUUAGUCUUUGUAAUUACUCAUAUAAGGUUAUGUCCAAGGUUCUUGCCAAUAGAUUGAAAAGUGUGUUGCCACAGCUUAUAUCUCCCUUUCAGAAUGUGUUUGUGGCGGGUCAGAAGAUUCAUGAUCAUAUUGGGAUUGCCUAUAAGAUCUUUCACUUCCUCAAAGGGCGGAAAGCGAAAAAUAAGUAUGAAUUGGGUAUAAAGCUUGAUAUGCAGAAAGCUUACGAUCAUGUGGAGUCAGAUUUUCUUGAUGCAAUUAUGGAAAUGAUGGGUUUUUUUAGUCUGUGGCAGCAUUUAAUUAUGGGUUGUGUGUCUUCGGUGUAGUUUGUUGUCAUUCUUAAUGGACAACCUAGUAAGCAGUUUGCUCCCUCUUGGGGUCUCAAGCAGGGCGAUCCCCUAUCUCCGUAUUUAUUUAUUUUGGUUGGGGAGGUUCUUUCUCGGAUGAUUUAGGAUAUAGUGGAUAGGAAGUUGCUGGAUGGCAUGAUGAUGGGUGUCUCGGGUCCGAUCAUUUCUCAUAUGUUUUUUACUAAUGACACUUUAAUUUUUCUGUGCGUUGAUGGAAAAAACUGUCAGCAUUUGGUUGAUCUUCUCGCAAAGUAUUGUGAUGCUUCGGGUUAGAAAGUGAAUUUGCAGAAGUCUAGUGUUUACUUUAGGGCGAAUACUCAUGCUAGGGUUGCUGCCGAAUUAGCUUAUGUGUUGGGUAUCCCUGUGGUUGACAAUCCAGGUACUUAUUUGGGUGUCCCUACUAUAUGGGGGUUGUCAAAGAAACAAGGUCUUGCCUAUGUCAAGGGGAGGAUUAUGGGUAAGUUGCAAGGAUGGAAACAAAGUCUUUUAUCUCAGGUAGGGAAGGAAGUCUUGAUUAAGGCGGUUGUCCAGGCUAUUCCAGCCUACCCAAUGAGUAUCUUUAAGUUCCCUGCUAUUGUCUAUCAGGAGUUGGACGCGUUAGUUGCUGGGUUUUGGUGGGGGAGUCUAGGUCCGGUUCGCAAAACCUAUUGGGUUUUAAUGGAUGUUCUUGGUCUGCUAAAGGAUAUGGGUGGUCCCAGAUUCAGGAAUUUUUCUGAGUUCAAUGAUGCUCUUCUGGCCAAGCAGGUUUGGUGUUUACUUUCGGAUCCUGAGUCUCUUUGGGCUUGUGUGAUUAAGGCCUGUUAUUUCCCGUCUUGUUCAUUUUGGGAUGCAAAAAAAAAGGGACGAGCUUCUUGGGUUUAGACAAGUCUUCUGAUUGGUCGAGAGGUACUUCAACGUGGAACUCAUUGGAAAAUCAUAGAUGGCACUGAUGUUCAUGUGUGGGUGGAUUGAUGGCUUCCAUCUUUACCUGUGGGUCAUCCAGUGCCCUUAGUUAGGGUUACUUCCAACUUGCGAGUAAGUUCUCUUAUUCGGCCCAAGUUCCAUGAGUGGGACAUCAGAUUUUUGCAACCUUUUCUUUCGGAGGUGGAUCAAGCAGUUAUACAGGCUACCCCACUGGUGAUGUGAGCGGUAGAGAUUGGUUAGUCUGGAAGGCUAGCAAGACUGGUAAGUAUUCAAUUAAAUCGAGGUAUCAUUGGCUUCAAUCAAAAUCACUUACUUCGAGGGAUCAACAGUUGACAGGGGUGCGGUUAGUUCCUAAGGCUUUGUGGCGGUUGCAUGGACCUCCGAAGCUUCGUCAUUUCCUUUAGUUAUCGUUGCACAAUGGUCUUGCUACUAGAGCAGCUCUUUUUCACAGGGUUCCUCCCCUUCCCCAAUUUGCCCAAUUUGUCUAGGUCAUGCUGAAACUUUGGAGCAUCUGUUUCUCCUUUGUCCAUGGGUGGAAGUUAUUUGGUUUGGUAGGGCUCUUUAACUACCGGGUUGAUAGAGAUGGCAUUUAAUCAUGGGCGAGUUAGUUGCAGGCGGUCUUGGCUCUUACCUUAGGAUCCACGGAAGACAGGGCUUGAGUUCAGUCCUAUGUUGUGUUCACCUGUUGGUUUAUUUGGAAAGCUCGUUGUGAUUUUGUGUUUAAUCAGGUUCCCGUUAAUCCUGCUAGGUUGCUGUUUGAGCUAUCCACUGCGGUGGGUUCUUAUUGGGAGGCGGUAAGGCUCUUGGGCACGGAUAAGGCGUAUCGUUCUGUUCUGCAGGAUCAGGUUCAUCGGUGAUUGGCUCAUCCAUCUCCAUUUACAAAGAUCAAUGUUGAUGCUAGUUGGUCUAAGGUGUCUAAAAUGGGUUAUGUUGGGGUGGUCGUGGGGAAUGAGGAGGGGCGGUUUGUGGCUGCUGCCAGAUAUUCUCUUCUAGCUCCUAAUGUUAUUGUGGCAGAAGCAAUGGCUCUGCUCCGUGGUUAUGAGUUGGGUACUCUUUUGGAUCUUCGGUUGGUUGUUUUCAAAUCGGAUUCUCUUGAAUCCAUAUCUUGUCUUUCGGGUUCUCUUGAUAAUGGCAGUUGGGAGGCUUUCCCUACCUUGACUCGGUUCAAAUUGUUGGGUGAGGCUUUCCAGCACUGUCGCUGGGCUUGGGUGCCAAGAUCAGCCAAUCUGGCGGCGCAUUUUCUCCCGUCGGUUGGUUUUACGGAGAUGUGUGAUUGUGUUUGGGUCAACAUGCCUCCAUCUUCAUUAGUUCAUGUUUUGAACAAGGAUGGCCUGCCAUGUUCACAUUGAUUUGUGGUGGCGAUGUUAGGGGUGACGCUAAAUUUGGUUGAUGCGUCUCCUGGUUGUAUCCUCUUUCAUCACUGUUGUUUUCGUUGUGCCAUGCUUAGUGGUUGCCUCCUUGUAGGCUUUCUUGUACCUUUGGGCUCCUCAGCCUUGGAAUGUUAUUCCUUGUUUUCAAUAAAAUAAAAUAAAAAUAAAAAUAAAAAAUAAAAGUAAACUAGUCCAGUCCAUUUCAAUGAAGGGUAGUGAAGCCAAACAAAUGUACCCCUAAUUUGAAGUUAACAUAACUUUAUGUGAUAAUUUCAUUGGAAGCUAAUAUUUUUAGUUAAUUUAACUUGAUAUAUUUUAAAUUCUUUUUUUGUGAACAUUUCUACCAAAAAACUUUCAAAUUCUCGGAGCCAAUUUUUUUUCAUUUUGGUUAUUCUGUUAAAAAUCUCUAUUGAAUAAAGACCAAAAUGACAAAAAUAACCUCAAUUCAAUAAACAAUUUGCUAAAUAAUUUGACAAAAAUUGAGGAUAUUUUUGUUAUUUUAUCUUUAUUCAAUAGAAAAAUACAUAAUGACCAAAAUGAUUGAUGAUGGACAAACUCAAUAAUGUCGGGGAUCAAAGGAAGAAAUGAACUUCCGACGUGGUGGGCUGUGACCUUGACUGCUUGAGAGUCUUCCAUCCGUAGCUCCUCCGUCUUCCUCCCAAGCCUUUUACUUUUCUUUCUUUCUUCUCCAAAACUAGGAAGCUCUAUGAGAUUUCAACCUCUCUCUCCAAGAAAUAGCGGCAUACGUUUCCAAACGUAAUCUGCAAUUUAUAAAACAGCCAAAUGCAAUUUGCAAUUUAUAAAACAGCGGCAUGCUUUUCCAAACGCAAUAUGAGAUUUCAACCUUUCUCUCCAAGAUGCUCCGGAUUGUGAUCGGUCAACACCAGUUGCUUUCCUGAGCUCCAAUAGACCCAACAGUGAUGUCGACUUCCGGCUGUGCUUCUAUUUGGCUAAUUCUGCUGUUUGGCUCUUUCACCUCCAUAAACUUGCUGCCAAUUCGAAGGUAUGUCUGUGUCUGCCGUUAAAGUCCCACAUCGGUAGGGUGAAAAAAAACCAAGGGGUUUAAAUAGUAUUACCCACUCUAACUGAUACCGAGACUUUUUGUGGUAAAAUCUACACUUGAUGGAUUAGGCAGGUGGUAAAGGUGGGGAUAGUAUCGAUGUCGUUAGAGUGAGGCGAGCCCGGCGAUCCAAAAAUCCAACAUGGUAUCAGAGCCCACGAUAUGGGCCCAUGCAAGCCAAUAAGCUUGUCACCUAUAAGGAAACAAGCCUAAACUCUUAAUAUAGAGACAAUCGCUGAGUUGCAUUGAAAACAAGUGGGCCCAGUAGGAGUCGACCUCUGAGUUUCAAUUACCGAUAUGGAUCUCCAUGUGUGAACCACUAAAUGAUGUUACACGUGAAGGGGAGUGUUAAAGUCCCACAUUGGUGGGGUGAAAAGAAACCAAGGGGUUGAAAUAGUAUUACCCCACUCUAACUAAUAUCGAGGUCUUUUAUGGUAAAACCCCACACCUGACCCUAAACCCUAAACCAAGGGGUUUAAAUAGUAUUACCUCACUCUAACUAAUACUGAGGCCUUUUGUGGUAAAACCCCAUACCUGACCCUAAACCUUAAACAAACCCUAUACCUGACCCUAAACCCUAACCCAAGGGGUUUAAAUAGUAUUACCCCACUCUAACUAAUACUGAGGCCUUUUAUGAUAAAACCCCACACCUGACGGACUGGACAGGUAGUAAAAGUGGAGACAGUAUCAGUGUCAUUAGAGUGGGGGCGGGCCCAGCAAUCCAAAAUCCAACAUCUGUGUUAUUGAAUUUGGGUUUGUUUGGUUGUAGGAAUUGGAAUGAACUAAUGAAUUACUGAAUGACUAAUUGGAUUUGACAGGCGACACACUCUAUGCGUUGAAGACCAAUCUAACUGAUCCAGACAAUGUUUUGGAAGUUGGAAUCUGACUCUCGUCAAUCCCUGCAGCUGGUAUCAUGUCACUUGUAAUUAGGAAAAUAGCGUUACUCGGGUGUAAGCAAACCUAACAAACACCUCAUUUUCAAUUCAAUUCAACUCAAUUCACUUGUAACAGCUAAAAUCGCGUUACACGAAAAUUCUAACAUUUUUGCUCCAUCUAAUGAUCUUGGCAAUGCCAAUCUCUCUGGUCGACUGGUGUCACAGCUUGGUGUGCUUUCUGUUUGGAUUAAUAUUUGAACAUUGGGCUGAAAAUGUGUGGAAGCCCAGAGAUACCAAUUAAAGGGAGACUUGCCUAAGGCCCAAGCAUCAAGCCUAGAGAGAAAUUAGCUCAUUCCCAUUAAUGCAUAGGCCAUGUGCCUAUAAUUUAAAUGUCAAGUGAUGGGGACUAACUCACAAUCAGUCAAAAAACACUUUUCAAUGGUAAUACAAGUAAAACGCUGAUGACUCACUACUUUCCAAGUGCUUAUAGGCAAGAGAGAAAUCACUAUCAUUGGGCUAAUCUGCCUACAAAUAGAGGAAGAGGCCCCAUAAACAAAGACACUCAACCAAUGAAACAAACAAACAUACAAACUACGCUCUCAAGCCAGAUUUACAUAUAAAAGCUGUAAUCAGCCUAGAUCUCAAUCCUUUUCAGGAUAUCUCCUUCACAAAAACUAUCUUUUGUCUUGUUUAGAAGCUCUGUUAUCAACCCUAGUGGCGUAGUAUCAGUUCUCCUUCACAAAAGCUAUCUUUUGUCUUGUGUUUUCUAAGAUAAUAGAUCUGCUGCUUAAUGUAUUCUCCAGCAUGUAUUUAAGUCAUAUCUAUCUGUUUUCCUACUUUGCAUCUGGAUCUGGUUAGAUUAAUGGAUAUGCUUUCAUUUAAAAUCAACCAAGAACCAAACAAAUGACCUUAGGGAUCUGGACUCCCCUCAUUCGAAUAUACAAGGCUAUGAAUUGAAAGUCCUUAGUCACAAAGCAAGAAAAAGAACUUAAUGCGGACUUCACUCAUCCACAACAAUCCUUUGAUAACAAGAAAUCCAAGUCACUUGGGGCGCAAGUAAUCGACUAAAUACAAUCUUGUUCUACAUUUGCUAUACUGAGAUUGCAGUGGCACGCCUAGCAUUUAGUUUUGAUUGCGAGCCUCAAGGCUUACACCUAAGGCCUAACAAAGACACAUUUCAAAACUAACUUUAUCAUUUUCUUGCAGCACAUUAGCAAGAAAAAGCCCGGCUACACAUCCAAAAGUGCCAAUCCCUUGGGGAGCUGUGCUAAGAGCCGAUGAGCCAUCUCCGGAGAAAUCUUCGCCCAAACACUUUCCAAGUUGCAGUACUUGUAAGUGUGUUUGCUAUAUGAACCCCCAUCCUAUUGUUAGACUUGGUGAGCUUGGAUAUUUACUUGGCAACCUUGCAAAAAUGCGUUUCCUAUAUGAACCCCCAUCCAUUUGUUAGAAGAGAAUUUUAACAAAAAGCUCAUGGUAUUGUUCACUUUAACGAAAAAUCACAUUUUUAUACUAAAAAGUCAAUUCUAGUACUAUUCACUUUACCCUCGUUAGAACUUAAAGUUUUCAAGCCAUUUUCAUUAAUUUUCCUUAAAAUCUAUCGUCUUUCUUUUUUAUUUGAUAUGCUAAUCUGCUGUUUUUAAUUGUUCCGUUGGAAUGACUUUCUUCCUUAUUCUCCAUGAUAGCUUUUCGGCUCAACCAAAUAUUGUGGUCAAUGCAUACAGCUUGAGUUUUGACUUUUUCUAGGAGUGAGUCCUAAACAGUAAAGGGCCUUAACACCGGAAUAUUUACAGAAAUAAACUAGCAGUAGAACCCUUUUAAAACUUUGUUAAACAUGUGCAAAUAUAUUAAAAUCUAAUUAUAUCCAUAUCAAAGAAAUAUCUAUUUACAUCCUCAUAUUCAAUAAGAAAAAAUGAUAAAUAUAUAUAUGUAGGAUAUAUCACAUAUUAAAUCUGUCUACGUCCAUACUAAAGUCUAUAUGCAUCCUUAUGUGUAAUAAUGAACAAAAGAUGGGUAUUUGAAGAAAACAUUACAUAGAAAAAGUUGUGGAUUAAGUUGUUCAUACAAAUACAAUCAUAUAAAAAUAUAUUCAUUUUCCAUGUCCCAACUCUUCACACUACAUUCAGUACUUCACUCUUCUUUCUUCUUUGUUUUUCUGUAGACGAGGAUGUACAGAUGAGGAUGUACAUUUUCCUCAAAUAAUCUGUUCAAGAUAAAUACAUUGGUUAAGCUUCUGAAUCAUAUGAGCCUUUAACUGGCUUAUAAAAAUGCUCAUUUUUCAUAUGAGAAGGACAACCAAUUUAGAGUUUCGAAAGAUAAAUAAAAAUUCCAAUUCUCACCAAGAAAAAAGAGCCGAAAAAAUACAAUGGGUUUUGAGGAGAGACGAAGUCUUUACCAACUAACAAAUGAAGUAAAUCAUGUUGUUCAAUGCUUGAACUUCCAAUUUAGUACACUUACAUCUUUAAUCUCUAACAAAACAAAACAAAAAAGGGAAAAAUCAUUUAGUAUACUUCUCACAACAUGUUUAAGAUGCAUGAACCCAACCAAAUUGCUUCACCGUUCACCUAUAUCCUCGGUGCUAUAAAUUCGAAUAAAAAACCAGUAAAUAAAAGUGGUUAAGCAAAAUCCCUCACUUCUCAUUACAUGUUGAAAUUUCUUUAACUAAACCUACUCCCAUUGUGUUACUUUUGUAGUGCAUACAUUACUAAAACCAAAAAGAAAAUGCUGCAAAGGGGAAAUUGGAAAAUCAUAUCACCAUCAAACAUUGCACUAAAGGCAUCUGAAGAAGCAAGCAGGCAGGUUCUGUGAGCAUACCAUCUAGCUGCAAUUGGUCAGUAAAAAUUUAUAGAGGUACUUUAUGUUAACAAUACAAUCACACAUGCUAAUUGAAUACUCUGUGAUUAAGAAAAAGAAGAGGAACUCACUCUGUGCUUCUUGAAAACUGGCGAGAGAACUGGAACUGAGUUGGAAGAAUGUACUGGAAGCAAUGGAACACCCCAGCUUCUUCAGCCUCGUCAUGAAAUAAUAUUAACAAUUCGGUCAAGUAUAAAACCAUCCGCCAGUUAUGGUUUUUGUAAAUUAUGUAGAAGCCAAAUAUCUAAUAAAUAGUCUAACAAUAAUUGAGUAAUCUGGUUUUGUUGAAAACAUUGGCAUUGUUAUGAAUGCCCACUCACACAUUGUUAAUACCCUUACAAAUUGAAAUAGACUUUGGAAAUAAAAGGAUUGUUUUUUCAAAACAUGCGAUGUAAAUUUCAAAUUGUAAGAACCUGUUUGUAUGGAGCUGCUUUAUAAAUAUAGCGCUCCGACUGCAGUUAAAUGAGAUAGAGAGAAUACUGAGAAAAAAGGAAAGAUAAAUAACUUCAGUAUCUAUUCCUCCAUCUUUUAUUUGUCAUCCUCUUGUGCUAUAACUUCAGUGUGAUAUUUUACACCUGCUUCGUUCCUGUCACUAGUAAAGAUUAUCUCUCUAACUUUUACAUAUUUAUAAUACGUUAUCAGCAUGAGUCUCUAAAACCUAACCAUUUUCUCAUUUCUCUUCGCCGAACAAAAGAAAGGAAAAAAUGUUUCCUAUAAGGUUUUUACUAUUCAUUUUCUUCCUCUGCCUCAACUGCGCGAUAUACCCUCUCGACGAACUGUUUGCUCCAUGCCUGCUUCUAGUUCUCAACCUAACAAUUACAUAUAUCUUUGAUUUCUUGUUUGGUGUAGAUCUUGAUUACUAACUCAGUAUUUAUUUAUGUUGAUUUUACUGCAAUCUAAGAUGGUGCGGUACAAUCGCUCAUCUUGAACUACAAAUUUAAUCUUACUGCGAUCCAAAAUGGUGCGGUAUCAUUGCCUAUCUUGGACUGCAGAUCUAAUUUUACUGCAAUUUAGGUGGUGCGGUAUAAUCAUCCACCCUACACUGCAUAUUUAAAUUUGCAUGUUGUUUAAUUUCAUUGCAAUUUUAGGUGGUGCGAUAUAAUUGCCCACCCUGCUAUGCGUAUUUAAAAUUUUCCUGCUACUAGAGUGGUGCGAAAUAAUCGUCCAUCCUAUGUUAUAUUAUUUCAAUGAGAAUGGUGCGGUAAAAUUGCCCUCCUCAUUCAUCUUGAAAAUCUCGGAAGUUUCGAGUACUUAUCAUUUUGGCCUGAAGAUCAAAAUGAAAAAUUUGCAAGAACCAGAAGUUCUAACACUAUAUUCCUCCAGGAAUACAUAUUAUUGCAAGUUCUUACACAUCUCAUUUUCUUUCAGAAAAGAAAAUGGCGAACUUAACAAAACUUGAUUUUGUUGCCCUGGUCAUUACUGGGAAUAAUUACCUUAUCUGGGUACUGGAUACCAAGAUCUAUCUGGAAGCAGGGAAUCUUGGAGAUACCAUCAGGGAAGAGAACAGCUCAUCCUCUCAAGAUCGGGCGAAGACCAUGAUCUUUAUUCUUCGCCAUCUUGAUAAGGGACUAAAGAGCGAGAACUUAACGGUUGAAGAUCUGUUAGCCCUCUGGAAGACAUUGAGAAAUAGAUACAAUCACCAGACAACGGUGAUUCUUCUAAGGGCUUGUUAUGAGUGGACUCACCUAAGGCUCCAAGAUUUCAAGUCAGUGGCAAAGUACAAUUCUGCGUUGUUUAGAAUUAUAUCUUAGAUGAAGCUCUGUGGGGAUACUAUUACUGAGGAAGAUUUGCUGGAAAAGACUUUUAGCACAUUUCAUGUCUCUAACGUGCUCCUGCAGCAGCAGUAUAGAGCGCAAGGCUUCACUGAAUACAACCAGCUGAUAUCUAUGCUCUUGGUAGCUGAACAAAACAAUGAGCUCCUGAUGAAAAAUCAUAUGUCUUGACCUACUGGAUCUACACCAUUCCCAUAAGUGAAUGCUGCUUCCCUUGAAAUGAACGCCACAUCCUUUGGUGGCGAUAAUCAUAAACGAGGACGUGGCCACAAGCGAGGUCGGUGGAACAGGAAAGGCAAGAACCAUGGUGGUCAGUUUCACAACUAGGGUCCUAGGCAUAAUUCAGGCCAGAGCUUUAAAAAUGUGAAUCGCCACAAAGGCAACGCUCAUAUGAACAAUGCUCUUAGAAACACUGAAGAAGCCUACCAUAGGUGUGGUGGUAAUGGGCAUUGGGCGCGUACUUGUCGCACCCCAAAACAUCUGGUGGAUCUAUAUCAAUCAUCCCUCAAGGAGAAUGGUGUUGAGACUAAUUUUCUCAACCAGACUAAAUCAAUGGAUAUACCUGAUCCAGUGUGCGACUUAUCAGGGCAAUUGAACACAACUCACCUAGAUGUUUCAGACUUCAUUGUGGAAAGGGGGAAUGAAGUGUAUCGGUCCGACUGAAUCGUUUAUGUUUAAUGUACUUUUAUUAUGCUGAACUUGUAGAUUAAAACUAGCAUUUCAAAUUCAAUAAAAGUGACAUGUAAAUUUCCUGUUAUAACUUGCUUCUAACUCUGAUUCCCUUACUCAGAAAGCAUAGAUAAAAACUAUGGUUAUUCUCAAAACAUGAGAAAUGGCAAAGAUAUUUGUCUUGCAGACUGCGCAACUACGUAUACAAUACUUCGAGAUCCAAAUUAUUUCUCAAGAUUGAUGCUUACAAAAGUAAGGGUAACAACAAAUAUAGGACAUUCAGAUGUAAUUGAAGGCUCAAGGAAAGCCCAGAUUAUGUUAUAAAAUAAUAUUGUCCAUACAUAAUGCGUUGUACACUACUCGAUCUACUCGAAUUUUUUUUAGUUUCAAAGACAUACGUUUAAAUGGAUACCACAUUGAAACGAAAAGUGCAGAAAAUGUGGAGUAUCUGUGCAUUACCUCCAAUGAUACCCAGAAGCGUAUAUUGGAGAAGUUGCAUGGUUUUCCGAGUGGAUUGUAGUAUACAUACAUAAAGACAGUUGAAUCACAUACUGUCAUGAACCAAAAGUUCAUUGAUUCAAAAGUUUACAUGCUUUGGCAUGACCGUCUGGGUCAUCCAGGAUCUACCAUGAUGCGUAAGAUCAUUACCAACUCUAAUGGACAUCCAUUAUUGAGCAUAAACUUUGCUAUCUUAAAUGAUAACCCUUGCAAGGUUUGUUCUCAAGGGAAGUUGGUAAUUAGAUCAUCACAACUAAAGGUUGAUACUGAAUCCCCAUCACUUCUGCAAAGAAUUCAAGGGGAUAUUUGUGGGCCUAUUCAACCAUCAUGUGAACCAUUUCGAUAUUUUAUGGUUUUGGUUGAUGCAUCUACCAGAUGGUCACAUGUUUGUCUCUUGUCUACUCGAAAUGUAGAUUUUGUGAGACUUCUUGCUUAGAUAAUUAAGUUACGAGCACAGUUCCCAUAUUACCCCAUUAAGUCAAUCCGACUUGAUAAUGCUGGUGAAUUUACAUCUCAAACCUUUGAUGAUUACUGCAUGACAUUGGGCAUUGAUGUUGAACACCUUGUUCCUCAUGUCUAUACUCAAAAUGGUCUAACAGAAGCAUUGAUCAAGCGGCUUCAUGUAAUAGCUUGCACUCUGCUCAUGAAAACAAAAUUGCCAAUUUCUGCAUGGGGACAUACCAUCUUACAUGCUGCAUCAUUGGUUCAAUUGAGACCUAUAGCUAACCACUAAUACUCUUCAAUACCAUCUAUCAUUAGAUAUUUGGAGCCCUUGACAAGUGAUAUGUUUACAACUCGUUUUGCUGAUUAUCACUUUGAUGGGACAGUCUUUCCCUCAUUAGGGGGAGAAAAUAUCGUUCAAGAAGAACGGAAAUAGUUGAACAUGGGUUGUUCCCACCUUAUCUCAUUUUGAUCCACAUAGCACUUAAUGUGAAAAUGAAGUGAAAAUGAUUGUUCAUCUUCAAAGCAUUGCCAAUCAAAUGGCAGAUGCAUUUAAUGAUGCUAUGAAAGUGAUAAAAUCACAUAGCUGCAAAUGCACCUGCAAGAAUUGAUGUCCCUGUUGGACAAAAUAAAGUGGAAACAAAUGGUUCAUCUGGUGCACGCCUGAAGCGUGGUAGACCCCUAGGUUCAAAAGAUUCAGCCCCUCGAAAGAGAAAGAUAAAGGCACAACUGAAUCCAAAUGAAAUCAUUCAAAAAGAGAGAAUGAAUGACAAAUCUACAAUUCAUGAUUCUGGACUUCCAAAAAAAGAAAAUGUCCUUGAUGAGACACAUGUCCCUGAAGAGACAGCAGUACAUGAGAGCAAAGAAAUCUCCAUAAAUUAUGCAUGUACUAAUGAAUUGUGGGAUCGGAAUUAAAUAACCAUCGACGAUAUGUUCGCAUUCGCAGUAGCCACUGAAAUCAUAUUAAGUGAUGGUAUUGAGCCCCACUCUGUUGAUGAAUGUAAACAAAGACAAGAUUGGCCUAAGUGGAAAGAUGCAAUCCAGGCAGAAUAAAAUUCCUUGGAAAGGCGAAAUGUUUUUGGACCAGUAGUCCAAACCCCACCUGGUGUAAACCCUGUGGGUUACAAAUGGGUAUUCAUAAGGAAACGUAAUGAGAAAAAGGAGAUUGCAAGAUAUAAAGCACAACUCGUUGCACAAGGUUUUUCGCAAAGACCUGGAAUUGAUUAUGAGGAGACAUAUUCUCCUGUAAUAGACGCAAUUACGUUCCGUUACUUAAUAAGUUUAGUGGUUUCAGAAAAAUUUGACAUGCGACUUAUGGAUGUCAUCACCACGUAUCUAUAUGGAGAAUUAGAUACUGACAUAUAUAUGAACAUCCCAUAAGGACUUAAGUCGCCUGAAACAACUAACAAAUCACGAGGUAUGCUGUCGAUCAAAUUAAGGCGAUCAUUGUAUGGGUUGAAACAAUCUGGACGAAUGUGGUAUAAUCGUCUCAGUGAGUAUUUGAUCAAAGAAGGGUAUAUCAACAAUGUCAUUUGCCCUUGUGUGUUCAUUAAGAAAUCCAACUCUGGAUUUGCUAUAGUGGCAAUAUAUGUCGAUGAUAUGAACCUAGUUGGAACCCCUGAAGAGCUCUAUUAAACUGUUGAAUAUCUGAAGAAAAAAAAAAGAAUUUAAAAUGAAAGACCUUGGAAAAACGAAAUUUUGUCUUGGCCUGCAGAUCGAGCAUUGUGCUAGUGGAAUUUUGGUCCAUCAAUCAGCUUACAUUGAAAAAAUCCUGAAGCGAUUUGGUAUGGACAAGACUUAUCCACUCAGCACGCCAAUGGUCGUUCGUUCUCUGGACGUUAAGAAAGAUCCAUUCCGUCCAAAAGAAGAUGAUGACCUGGUCUUUGGUCCAAAAGUACCAUAUCUGAGUGCAAUAUGUGCUUUGUUGUAUUUAGCACAAUGUACUAGACCAGAUAUGGCUUUUUCAGUCAACUUGUUAGCAAGGUAUAACUCUGCUCCAACAAUUCGUCAUUGGAAGGGUGUCAAAGAUGUAUUGCAAUAAUUUCGUGGGACAAUAGACAUAGGUUUCUUCUACUAAGAGAAAUCCACAAAUGACCAGGUCCUUGUUGGACAUGCAGAUGCUGGUUUUCUCUCUGAACCGCAUAAAGUCCACUCAUAAACUAGAUAUGUGUUCAAGAAUGGAGAUACAGCAAUCUCAUGGUGCUCAACAAAGCAAACACUAGUUGCUACAUCUUCAAAUCAUUCAGAAAUUCUUGCUUUACAUGAAGCAAGUCAUGAAUGUUCUUGGUUAAGAUCAAGGAUCCAUCAUAUCCGGAAUUCAUGUGGCCUAACUUCGAAGACAAACAAUCCAACUGUCAUUCAUGAAGAUAAUGUAGCAUGUAUUGCCCAAAUAAAGGAAGGAUUCAUCAAGGGCGAUAAAACUAAACACAUAUGUCCAAAAAUUUUCAGUGCACAUGAGCUUCAGAAAGAUAAAGUUAUUGAAGUCAGACAAAUUUGUUCUAAUGAAAAUCUGGCAGAUUUGUUCACCAAAUCUCUACCAAAAUGCACGUUUCAGAAGUUAGUGCAAAGUAUCGGAUUGCGUUGACUUACCAAACAGCUAAAUUUGGAGAAUGCGGAAUCAGGGGGAGAUAUAUAUAUCAUGGGGAGCAUCCAUGAUACAUGCAUGUUAUACUAUUUUUCCUUCGAUUAGGAUUUUUCCCACUGGGUUUUUCCUAUCAAGGUUUUAACGAGGCAACAUAAGCAUAUUUAACACUAUAUCAACAGUCCAGGAAAAGUUGUACUCUUUUUCCUUCACUAUGGUUUUUUCCCACUGGGUUUUUUCCAAGCAAGGUUUUAACAAGGCAACUCAUGUUGAUAUGUGGGCAUCCAAGAGGGAGUGUUGAAAACAUUGGCAUUGUUAUGAAUGCCCACACACACAUUGUCAAUACCCUUACAAAUUGAAAUAGACUUUGGAAACAAAAGGAUUGUUUUUCAAAACAUGAAAUGUAAAUUUCAAACUGUAAGAACCUAUUUGUAUGGAGCUGCUCUAUAAAUAGAGCGCUCUGACUACAGUUAAAUGAGAUAGAGAGAAUACUAAGAAAAAAGAAAGAUUAAUAACUUCAGUAUCUAUUCCUUCCUCUUUUAUUUGUUAUCCUUUUGUACUAUAGCUUCAGUAUGAUAUUUUACACCUGCUUCGUUCCUGUCACUAGUAAAAGUUAUCUCUCUAACUUUUACAUAUUUAUAACAGGUUUAAGAUUAAUAAAAAAGCAUGGGAAUUUCAGCUGUAAAAUCACACCUCAGGCUGCAACUCGACAAAGUCUGUGAAAUCAUAAUCCAAAAUGCGAUCUUCAGUCUUCAGGCCUCUGUUGCAAAAAUUAAUUCCACAAUCCCCAAAAAAUUAAAAAUUGAAGUUUGAUUUGAAAUUAAAAAUGCAUUCUUUGAAGAUAAAUUCAAAAAUUUAAAAUUAUAUGCGAGAGAGAGACCUUGUUAAUAUUCGGAGUUAGAGUGAGGAGUUCUCGAAUUGGGAGCGGCGGGGUUUCGUUGCAAAUUUUCCGAACAAAAUUUCCACGAAUGAAAGGUGAUCGCGAUUUUUUGGCUGGAGGAAAUGAUGUUUUAAGAUUUUUGGAAUUUUGAGUGAAUGGAUGGUGUGGCUGGUUGCGAAACAGAGAAAGAGAAGUUUGGGUGUUUUCAUCCCCUUUAAUAUCUGUUGUUAUUGCAAUUAUUUGUGAUUUAAUUAGCACUUUCUGUUCCAUGAAAUAGGCGUCUAUACAACGACAGCAUGUCAGGGCAUAUUCCCGUGACUUUGACUAACAUUCAAUCAUUGCAAGUCCUGUGAGUUUCAUACACUUUCAUCUCAGUAAGAGGGAGGAGAGGGAAGUUACUAAUUUCUCCGCCAUCAGAGAAUGCAAAUAACAUGUAGUUUUGCCAUGGAAUGCAGGGAUCUUUCAAAUAACAAUCUGACAGGGGAUAUUCCAGUCAAUGGAUCUUUUUCACUUUUUACUCUCGUCAGGUUUGUUGAACCCACUUUACUUUUUUUUUCUUUACCUUUUUCCUGCUGUGGCUGUCCCAGCGGACGAUCUAAAUGAUGUACUGACUGCUAUUAUUCAUUUUGUAGUUUUUCCAAUAAUCCUCGUCUGAAUCCACCUCCUCCCGUUUCUCCAACCCCACCAAGUUCUCCAGGUUUUUACAACUUAUACUGUUCUUGUGAUAUUAACUCAAAUUUAUUUUGAGAACAGUUGAAUAUCAGAGUACUAGACUACAAAAUAAGAAUAUUAUUACACAAAUAAGAAUGGCAAAACGGUUGCAAAAUUUAAAAAGACUACAUUGUGACACACUUGUUCUAAAGAAAAUAACAUGCAUCCUAUUUAUAAUAAACUAUACCCCUAAUUUCUAACAAAUCCUAAUUUUAACGGGCUGACCUCAAAUCCUAAACUUAUUACUUUCCAACUGGCUCUGUUUUGUUUCACAGACACUUGUGGUAUCGACUCCAGUCCAUUGGUAGUUAAUGUUUUUUCUUGGUGUUUUUCUGUUAAAUUUUUUUCUUAGUACAACAUUAUUGUUGGAAUCAUUGCGUAAAGCGGAAGUCUUGUGCACUGGGUACGACCUUUACAACAUUAUCGUUGGAAUCACUGCUGUAAAGAUUCUAAGAAGAUGCUAGUUAGGAAAGGAAUGGAUUGAGGAUCCGAGAGGAUACUCCUAAAUUCAUGUGAGUUUGAAGAAAUGAAUCGGCUAAAAAGUCAAAAAUAAAUAUAAACAAAAGAAGAACGAAAUUUCCGACUCGGUGGGCUGCGACUACUGAUUGAGAGUCCUCCAUCCGCAGCUCCUCCGUCUUCCUCCCAAACCUUUUACCUUUCUUUCUUUCUUCUCCAAAACUAGCAGCGGCAUGCUUUUCCAAACGUAAUCUGCAAUUUAAUCAAACAACCACCGAAUUUUCUGGAAACCGGUCAACGCAGAGAUGCUUCGGAUUUUGAUCGGUCAACGCCAGCUGCUUACCUGAGCUCCCACAGACCCAACAGUGAUAACGUCCUCCACCUCUGUUUCUGUUUGGCUGAUUCUGCUGUUUGGCUUCUUUCACCUCCACAAGCUUGCUGCCAAUGUCGAAGGUAUGUCUCUGUGUGUUAUUGAAUUUGGGAGUGUUUGGUUGUGGAAACCGGAAUGAACCAAUGAAUGAAUGAAUGACUGGAAACAUUCCCGAAGAGCUUGUGGGUUUGUAAGACUUGGUGAGCUUGGAUCUUUACUUGAACAAUUUACAUGGUACCAUUCCAGCGACACUUGACAACCUUUCCCGAAGAGCUUGGGGGUUUGUCAGAGCUUGGUGAGCUUGGCGGUUUGUCUUCUGGGUUUCUCAAUUUGUCCUUGGAUGAGGAAUUCGAAGUAGUUGUUGGAGAUUUUGGGUUGGCUAAACUCAUGGACUACAAGGAUACACAUGUUACCACACAUGUAUGUGGCACAAUUGGUCAUAUGGUGCUAGCAGGAAUUAGGAAGGGCCAUAAAAGCACCAUUCUUUAUAAUAUAUGUAUCUAUCCAGAAAUUAGUCUAGAUUAAGUAAAUAAUCAUUCUGAACUUAUGACAAUCUAUAUUUCUAAAUAUUCCUAUAGAUCCUAUAGAUUCGGCAAGUCUCAAGCCAAUCGUGUAAGGACACAAAAUCAAGUGCGUAGGUGCUUGUUGAUGGAUAAUGUUUGAAAUCUGAUCGUGAUCAUUGCAAGUGCAACUUUGUCACACUUCUCUUAUAAGUACUUCAACUAAGGUAUUAGGGAUCUAGGGAUCACUUUGUGUCAUUCCAACAUGGGAAUUUGAGCUCUGUCUACGCUCUUUAGAGGGACUUAAACCUAAAAAGUUUGGCUUAUUUGGGUUUGUAUUUGGUUGACCCAAAUAUUUGGGGUGCCCCACCUUUUAUUUUAAAGCAAUGGGUGAAUGAUUUAUUGAAGUGGCUGCCAGCUGGGCCGGUGAUCACCAACGACACAGAUUAAAAUCCUAUCUUUUAGCAAUGUUUAGAUUUUGAUCUAGUUGUUCAUGUUUGUUUCUUCCAAAUCCAAUGAUAAAAACAAAAUAAAUAAUAAAUAAAUAAAAACUUAAACGACUAAAAUUAAAUUCAACGUAAAAAUUAAUAAAAUAAUUUUCUUAGAUUAAAUCCACUUUAAAUUUAGAUGCUGUGUGUAUUAAAGUUUGAUUGGUUGUUUGUAUAUUGAAGUUUGGUUGGUGUGUACUUUGAAGUUUGGUUAGUUGGUUUGUAUAUUGAAAUUUGGUUGGUAUGUGCAUUGAAGAUUGGUUGGUUGUUUGUAUAUUGAAGUUUGGUUGGUUUGUUCGUGAUAGAGAAUUUUACCACCUACAAAAGUAGGGAUAAAAACACUUAAAAAUACUUGCAAGAGAACAAGGUAGUUAUAGUAUAAGCGGUGUUUAUACCAUACUUAGGGCCUCCGUAUUUAGAUCUCGUAUAAAUACUUGAGGGACUCAAAUGUAAUUAUGUAAUAAAGGAAUGGGCAAAUAUGUAAUAAGUGAGGAGCCCUUAUUCUAUAAAAUGGACUCCUCACCCUCACAAUGAGGAAGCCUCCUCAUCCCCUCAAUCCUCUCAAAUUGAGAAGAGCUCUCUCACCCUCAGAAGCUCUCUCUCUCCCUCUUCAACAUCUCAGAGAAAUACAAUAUCAGUGUGGACGUAGCCCAAACAUUGGGGUGAACCACGAUACAUAUUGUAUUAUUUACUUUCUUGCAGAUUCACGGUCGGAUUUAUGUUGUUCCAAGACCCCUCCAUUUUGUGCAUCAACAGUUUAUACCAUACUUAGGGUCUCCGUAUUUAGAUCUCGUAUAAAUACUAGAGGAACUCAAAUGUAAUUAUGUAAUAAAGGAAUGGGCAAAUAUGUAAUAAGUGAUGAGCCCUUAUUCUAUAAAAGGGGUUCCUCACCCUCACAAUGAGAAAGCCUCAUCAUCCCCUCAAGCCUCUUAGAUUGAGAAGAGCUCUCUCGCCCUCAGAAGCUCUCUUUCUCUCCCUCUUCAACAUCUCAGAGAAAUACAAUAUCAGUGUGGACGUAGCCCAAACAUUGGGGUGAACCACAAUACAUCUUGUGUUAUUUACUUUCUUGCAGAUUCACGAUCGAAUUUACGUUGUUCCAAGACCCCUCCGAUUUUGUGCAACAACAUUUGACACUGUCUGUAGGAAACGACACAAAAAGCUAUGUCGAUUCUCUUUCAUUUUUUCAUCUCACCACUGUGAGAUUUCACCACAACCUUCACCGUGAACCUGCAGAAAUCAAAACAAAAAGGAAAGAGACAUCGUGACACAAUGCAAGUUGGGCAAUGGAAAGAGACAUCGUGCUGGGUCAAGGGGAGACAUGUGGCUGCUGUUUAUGGGCCUGGACAAUGUUGGCAAGAAGAAGAAGAAUAGGCAGAGAUAUGGAGCCAAUGG